AAAAAAAAAAGAAGCAAUGCUUCUCUGUUUGAAUUGACGCGCUCAAAACUUUUACUUUACUUCUACUUUGGUCGAGUGACUCUCUAACUAAGAAAAAUUAAAACCUUUAUCAGAUUUUUUUUUCUGAUAAGUUUAUCAAAUUUACUAUUUUUAAUCACUUUAUACCUAAUUCAACCAUUAAAUUUGACAAUCCUCAGUCAAAUAUUUUUUUAUCUUUGUAUUAUUUUAAUUACCUAAUAAAUUGAAAACUUUGUAGAUUUAAUAACUCUAUUGGCUAUUUAUAUUUAAUUAUUUUAACCUUAUUUAAUAAUUAUAUCGAUAAAAUUAUCAAUAAAUUUGAUAAAAUUUUUGGUUCAUUUAAAUAAAAAAAUUAUUCAAUUUUAAGAAAUAGUAGUAAAGAGAAUUUGAAUGAAAAUGGGUUCUUAAUUUAUUUCUAGCUACCUACAAGUUACAAUGAACCGAGUUGCGACCGGGUUGACUCACGAGCGACCCGGAGAAAUAAUAAUGUUUGCUAAAAAUAUCUUGCUAUAAUUAUCCAAAUUUUACCCAGGAAAAAAUAAAAAAUAAAAUUAAUAAAUAUGAGACAUUUAUUUCGGGUUACCGAAUCAUCCAACGUAUCCGAUAAAGUCAUAAAGAUUCGCUAUAAACGAAGAAACGCCACAAUUCCCCACCAAUUAUUACAUUAAAAAAAAACGCGUUUUUCUUUUUUUUUUUUUUCUUUUUUUUGCAUUAAGACCGACCCGGAUCCGACAAUAUCCCUUGUUUUUCUAACUUUAGAAAACUUAAGGGAGAAGGUACAUAUUUAAGGAGGACCCCUCAACAAUAGCACAUUUUGAAAGAGGUUCUUAAACUUUUUCUUCAACUUUUUUUUUAAAAAUUCUAAAUUCUUAAAUUGAGUUAAUUACUCUAGUUAUUUGUAAAUUUCUAGUUAAAAUACUUUCUAAAUUUUACAGUUUUAUUAGCUAUUAAUGAUUAAUUCUUUAGUUUUUAUCCAAUAAAUUUAAAAAUAUAAUCUUUUAAGAGUUUUGCUAAAAUUGAAGGUUUUAAAAUGGCCUAUUGUGGACCAAGUGUAAAUUCUCUACAGUUCGCAUGCGCAAAAAUAUCGUGCGCAUGAGUAUCCACAGUAGAAAUAAUCUGAGCAAUAAACAACUCAAAUUAAUUUUGUUGUAGAUACACAAUUGAAGCGCAUGGCAAAAUUAUACGCAGAGAUUUUCUACACGCGGAGAAAUAAAAACAUACUUAAUUUGUCAUUGAGCAAAAACUUUGUAUAUUUUUCUCAAUCUUGCUACCAACCAGUUCGGCUUAUCCAAACCAACAAAAUAAUAAAAAAGAAAAAGGUAAAGGCGAAAAAAAAAAAACAAAAAAACAAAAAACAAAAAAACAAGAAAGGGCAAAAUUGUAUAAAGACCCCUCAAAUCCAUUGCAUUUGGAAACAAACGCCCUAGACCUUCCUUUUUUUUAUUUUUAUUGAAAAUAUUCUAGCCAUUUAAGUUAAAAAUUGUAUUGAAUUUAAUGGCAGAGUUAGCCAUGACCAGUAAAUUAAUCCAAUUUUAAUUCUUUCCAAAGUGACUAAAACUAUAAUAUUUAAUAAUUUUUUUUAACUGAAAAUUACUUGAGCAAAUAGCUCAAGACAUUCUUUGAAAAUAGAGUACAGUCGAGGGGUCCUCCAUACAUUUUUUUCCAAUAGAGACCAAGAAAAAAAAGAAGGUAAAUAUAUAGGUCUGAUUCUAAAUUUUACUGCUUAAUUUUUAAAAUUUAUAUAAAUUUUAGUCACUCAAGAAUAAUUUAACUUUAAAUAAAAAGUAUAUAAAAUAUAUGAAGCAUACAAUAUUUGAGUAAAAAUAAUGUCAAUUCACUAAAAUCUAAUAAGUAAAUUGAAAUAUUAAUUAGUCAAAUUAAAAAGAAAAAUUAUAAGGUUAGAUAAUGUAUAGCCGGGAUUCAAAAUAGUUCGUAGUUCAGAUAUAAAGGGUGGGUGCGUGGUGGAGGACUGCGUAACUCACCCCGCAGCCGGUGUCGAGAGCGGUGCGGACGGCGCCGGAGCGGAGGGCGGGGGCGAGGCGCUGCAUGUCGUCGAUGUAGGCGUCGGCGCCGUUGGGGAACAUGGUGCCGCCGCCGGGGAAGCGGAACUUGUCGCCGUCGACGCGGAUCCAGUUCUGCACGGCCUUCUCGACGGUGAGCUCCUUGUGCGGCACGUUGGCGAACCACGCCGCGCCGCGGCUCUCGGGCCACGGGGGCGGGCUCCGGUAUCCGGGCGGCGCCGGGACCAGGCACUUGAGCUGCUCGCCCUUCUCCGGGCAAUGCCGCUCCCUGUACACCAGCCGCUCCCUCUCGAACCGCAGCGACCGGUCCCGAUCCUCGCACGGCGUGUACUCCGCGAACUUCGCGUCGCACGCCGGGAACCCCCGCCGCCCCCUCCGCCCUUCCUCCACCGCCAACCCCUCCUCCUCCGCCGCCGCCGAGUGGUGCGCCGCGAAGUCCAGCGCCGUCGCCGUCGCCGGAGCGGCGCCGGCGCCGGCGGCGCGGCGAUCGCAGGGGACGGCGGUGAGCACGACGGCGGCGCCGCCGGGGCCGGCGCCGGCGUGCUGCCAGACGCCGAGGAAGUAGGAGGCGGAGCAGAGGAAGGCGACGAAGGCGACGGAGAGGACGUUCGUGCGCUUCAGGUAACUCUGGUAGAGCUUGCACGCGCCGCCGCCGCCGCCGAAGGGCGUAGAAGCCCCCGCCAUGGCCGAUUAAUUAGGGAGGAGAGAAAGAGAGAGGGAGAGAACGCGAUGAGGGCUCAGGUUUGGGGGGGGAUUUGGGGGAGGAGGACGAUGAGUCGGUAUAUAUUACUAAUUUAAUUAGGUAUAAAAUAAAUGAAUAAAUAAAUAGAUAGAUAUAAAUUGGGCAAAUUAAGGAGGAGGGGGGGAGGGGUGGUGAUGUAUAGAAGGAAAGAGAAGCGUAUGGUUUUGAUAUGAUAUUAUUAUUGGGAGUAGAAAUAGAAAAUUACAUGAGGGGGGUGGGGUUUUGGUCCUUUUGGAUGCAUCUGUGAUGGUGGGGACUGGGGACGGGUAUUCAAUUAAAUUAAAUUGCAUUGAGAUGUAUCAACAUUUAAUUAAAUUGAAAUGUGUGUUAGACUUUGAUUGUGACAAUUCUAAAAAUUCGGUCAAAAAAUUAUGACAAAAGAGAGUUUAAGGACUAAACCUGCAAUUUACCCUUUUCACACUACUCCAAAUUUACUUUGCUCAUUUAAUUUCCGCAUUAAUUUAAAAAGUUUUAUUAUAGUCGGUUUGCAAAUUUAUCCGUUUGAGGGUAAACUAUUACCUACGCCUAAUAAAUAAUAUUUUAUAACAAAACUAUAUAAUUUUAUAUAAUAUAAAAUAUUUAAUUAAAUAUUAUAAAUUUCAUAUAAAAUAUUAGUUGUAAUUUAAAAAAAAAAAAAUUUUAUCCAGGGGCCAAAGUGUAAGUUUUGUGUCAGGUACUGUGUUUCAACUUUCAAGUGGGAACAAAGAGGCAGGGCCGUUGGUGGCCGUUUUGGCUUUUUGCUCCCCCGAUUACCUAACUCUACCGGGAGAAACUUGGGGAGUGCAUACACAACUAGUCCCCAAACUUUAUCUCAUAGUUUUUUUUUAUUAAGUUCUCAAAAUUUUAAUUUUGAUAUAGAUAAAAUUAUAUAAUGUUGAACUGACAUACUAUUAGUAGUAAACAAACUUUAUUGUCAUUCAUUUAUUUUCAAUAAUAGAGCCUCUAAAUCGACGAUUAGCACUGUUGAACAUAAUGUAUACCACUUGAAAUAUUUACAAAUCAAAUUUUAUAUUUUUUCGCUAUUAUUCUCUUGUUCAUCAAGUGGACACAAAAUGAACGGCUGAAAAUUUAUAUUCUUUAAAAAGUGGUGACAGUAGUCUUGUAAUCAAAUUCAAGAGUAUAAUCUUGUUCUAAAUAGUUUUAAAAAAAAUUUAACCAAAAUUCAAUCGAUUUGCAUAUCUUUACAUCGUUAAACGAGAAGACGUCUUAUAUCGACCAGUAAAAUUAUAAAUUUUGAAACUCUUUGAUCAUUAGGUCAAUAAUAUUAAAAAGAUUUGAAAUUUGGUUUUUAGAUACUUUAGGCAGUAUAGAUCAUGUUCAAUAAUGUCGAUCAUCGAUUUGGAAGUUCCAUCAUCAAAAAUAAAGUGGCAACGGAGUCCAUUUACUACUGAUAGUAUUCCAGUUCAAUUCAAAUUAUAUAUAUAUAUAAUAUAUUAAAUAUAUAAUAUAUAAUAAAUAUAUAUUAGCUGGGGCUAUAUACCAUAUGAAAUAUAAGCCCUGUACCAAAGUUUCGAUUCGUUCAAUAAAAGAUGUACGUUAAGGAAGAAAGGGUUACGUUAGAUGAUAGUGGCCCCUUCAGGUGAGGUUUGGAAAUUAGCUAUAAUCUAACGGGUGAAAAAAUUAAAGGAUAGAUUAACUCCAAAAACUUAUGAUAUAAGGCUAUAUUUCAUAAAUAUACGCACCGACUCUAUAUGUAUAUAUACUGAUAUAGAAUACUUAAAAAGUAUUCGACCCCUUGUGCUGUAUAGUUCUAGCCCUUUGUAUCUACUCCUUAAUUACUAAUACCCUUGACUCAAACACUUUCCACCAUACCACACACACUACCACACCAUACAACACCAUCAUCUCAACCAACAUUCUCCAUCCAAGGGUUAAAAACCAAAGCAAACAAACUAUCUUCCAUACUUUGAGAGUAUUCUAUUCCUCUCUUCUCUCAUCCUCUCUGUAUAUAUAUAUAUAUAAUAUAUUUAUAUAAUUAUAUAUAUAGAUAUAUUAUAAUAAUUGACUAGAAACUUUAGAAAUACAGAACCCCAAGGUUUCUAAGUUCUACCCUUGAUCUACUCUUAUACUAAUAGCCUUAAAUAAACACCAUUCCACCUACACCACCUACCACCGUCAUCUCAACCCAACAUCUCUUCAUCCAUAAACAAAACUCAAAAACACCACCUUCAUCGAUCUUUGAGAGAUUCUAUGCUCACUAUAUAUACUAUAUAAAUAUAUAUCAUAUAUAAUAUAUCUAUAUUAUAUAAUAUAUAUAUAUUAUAUAUAUAUUAUAUUAUAUUAUAUAAAUAAAUAUUAGAGAGAGAAAGAGAGAAGAGAGAGAGAGGUGAUGGGUGAUGCUUCUGGAACACGAGCCCUCCGUGCUUCAAGUUGUUUCGAUUUCAUUUCAAUCGACGAUCGGCCUCGUUAUAGUUUAUCAGAGUAUUGAACCUAGUAAAAUAAAUUUUGUGAUUAUUUCAAAAUAACGUCAUUUUGCGCUAUAUCAAGGCGCUACAAUCAAUAAUUUAAUGCGCGUAAUUGAGCCUUUGGCAGUUUAACGCGUUAGAAAUACGCAAAAUCACAUGAAAUUUUGAUAGAAAAUCUUAAUUAUAUGCCAAUAAAACAAGAUCAAUAACUUCUGAUCUAACUUUAAUGUCAUACGUCAUCAUUUUUUGUAAAUUAUUUAUUUUCAGCACGAUUGAUAUUGAGCGUACUUUAUCACUAGCAAUAUAAUACGAAAAAUCCGCAAAAUUUAUUUCUAGAACUUCAAAUACCAGAUCAAUCUAACGAGACCGAUUGCCGAUUCAAAAAUCUGAAACAUCGUAAAACAACUGACACAGGCUCCGUGCUUCCAGAACAUACAGACGCACUCUAUAAAUAUAUAUAAUAAUAUAAGUAUAAUAUAAUAUAUAUAUAGAGAACGAGAGAGAGAGAAGAGACGAGAGAGAGAGAUAGAGAGAAGAGAGAGAAGUUAGUCUAGAAUCCUAUCGAUAGCAAAUGGGUUCCCGUUGCCACCCAUUUGUUUUCGAUAUAAAGCCUCCAAAAUUCGACGAUCGAUGCACUCGUUUAAACAUAUCUAUAAACUGAAGUGUUUACAAUCAAAUUAAAUCUUCGACCAUUUGCCAUAAUGACAAGGGUUUAAAAUUGUAAUUUAAUGUCGAAUGAAGAAUUUCUCGUUAACGGCUGUUAAAGAUAUCAAAAUCAAUUGAAUUUUGUUAGAAAAUUCUUAAACUAUUUAAAACCAGACUAUAUCUGAUCUUGAUUACAAGACUCCUAUCAUACAUUUUUAAAGAAAUCAUUUCAUGUUCAUUUGGUCCACUUUAUGAUAGAGAACAAUAUGAAAUGUAUAAAAUUAUUUCUAAACAUUUUUAAUACGUAUACGAUCAUGUAAACUACCCGUAUCGCAUUAAGAGGCUGACCAUCAUCGAAAACCAAAAAUAAAAGCGGUGACAACGAGCCCGUUUGCUUGUCGAAGCAUCUAGCUCUACACUCUAAUAAUAUAUAUAUAUAUAAUAUAAUAUAUAUAUAAUAAUAUAUAUAUAUAUAUAAUANNNNNNNNNNNNNNNNNNNNNNNNNAUAUAUAUAUAUAUAUAUAGUUAGGCUGGUAUACUAUCGGUAGCACGGAGACUUCCGUAUUACCAAGUUGUUUUCAAUGAUGCGGCUUCCAAAUCGACGAUCGGCUCCGUUAGACUUGAUCAACACUAUUGAAAGUAUUUGGAAACUAAAUUUCAUAAUUUUUCGGCAUCAUUUACCUAUCAAACGAGUAGUCUAAAAAUGAAUGGCUGAAAAUAAAAAAUCUCAUAAAAAAUAAUGAUAAAAGACUUGAAUUUAAGAUCAGAAGUACUGAUCUCACUCUAAAUAGUGAAAAGAAUUUUCUAUAAAAAAUUCAUUAGAUUUGGAUUGUUUUACACCGUUAAAUUCACAAACCCAUCACAUAUACCAUUAAAAUUGUCAAUUUUGAGACCUUUUGAUCACUAACCAAAUGAUGUCGAAAAUUUAUGAAAUUUAGUUUCCAAAUACUUUUGAUAGUGUAGAUCAAGUCUAACGGAGCCGAUCAUCGAUUUGGAAGCCGCAUCAUUGAAAAUUACCAGCCUAGCUCUAUAUGUAUAUAUUUAUAUAGAGUUGAGAAUGCUUUUAGAAGCACCAAACCCUUAGUGCUUCUAGGUUUCUAACCCUUGGAUCUACUCCUUGAUUACUAAUAGCCCUUGGAUUAAAUAUUAGAGUAAAUUGCAUUGUUGCCCCCUGAACUUUUGGAGUUUCACUUUAUCCCUCGAACUUCUAAAAUGGACAUCUAACCCCUUAAACUCUAAUAUUUUGUUCAUGUUAUCCCUUCCGUCAGUUUUCCGUCAAACUCCGUUAACCGGAAACUGACGGAAGGGAUAAAAUGAAUGAAAUAUUAGAGUUUAGGAUGUUAGAUAUCUAUUUUAGGAGUUUGGGAGAUUAAGUGAAACUCGACAAAAGUUCAGGAGAAAGCAGUGCAAUUUACUCCGUAGGGGACUCUUGACUAUAACUUAUUUUAUUAUAAUAUGUUACUUAUGGAUUGACUAUUAAUCCUCAAGUUAGUGAUCAUACUUGAUUUUUAAUUUAUAUAUAUUUUUUAUCCUAAAAUAAAUCAUACCAUAAUUUAUCCUAUAUUUUAUUGUAAUAAAAUAAAAGUGAAAGAAAUGAAUUAGAGUGGCUUAAAGAUAAAAAAAGAGCGAUACUAACUACCUAUGAUGCUCGAACACUCCACUAUCUCGGUGUACUCGCUAAUAUGGUUGGUUUACAAUAAGUGUCCUCACUCGGAUAUAAAGAUUUUAAUUCUCAGUUAAUUUUCUGUAGUACUCGUUUGUCCCUUUUAUCUUUAGAAGUAUUGUUCUAUAAAAUACACUUAAAUAAAAUUUUUGUACUUCAUCUCAGCCAAUUAGAAAUUUUUAAUAUAAAAAUAUAAAAAUAAUUUAUAGUAAAAAUUUGGGUAAAUUGUAUUGUUACCUUCUGAACUUUUGGCGAGUUUCACUUAACCCCCUAGACUCCUAAAAUAGACAUCUAACACCAUAAACUCUAAUAUUUCAUUCGUUUUAUCCCUUCCGUCAGUUUCCGAUUAACGGAGCUUGACGAAAAACUGACGGAAGGGGUAACAUGAACGAAAUAUUAGAGUUUAGGGGGGUUAGAUGUCUAAUUUAGAAGUUCGAGGGGUAAAGUGAAACUUCGCCAAAAGUUUAGGGGGUAACAAUGCAAUUUAUCCUUAAAUAUUAUUCCACCUACCACCACCUACCACCAUAAUCCUAACUUUACAUCUCUCCAUCCAAUGGCUAAAAACUCAAAAGCACCACCGUCUUGGUGCUUUUGAGAGUAUUAUAGCUCAACUCUCUCUCUCUCUCUCUCUCUCUCUCUCUCUCUAUAUAUCUAUAUAUAUAUAUAUAUAUAUAGAGCAGGACUACUGUGCUAUUAGGAGCACAGUAGCCUUUGUGCUCCUAACUUUUUAACCACCCAUCAAAUUUGAUGGGUGGUUAGAAUGAGAGAGGGAUGAGAUAUUGAGAAAAAAUUGAGUGUCUCAAUAUCUCUUCUUCUUAAAUUUUUCUCCAAUAUUUCAUCUCUCUCUCAUUCUAACCACCCAUCAAACUUGAUGGGUGGUUAGAAAGUUAGGAGCAUAAGGGCUGCUGUGCUCCUAAUAACACAGUAGCCCUACUCUCUCUCUCUCUCUCUAUAUAUAUAUGAAUAUAUGAGGGAUGUGACACUUUGAUCUCUAAACUUUCAUUUGUUAUAAUUUUUGGUUUGAACUUUUCGAAUUGUUGCAAUCAAAUUUUACAAUCAAAAUUAAUCGGCUAAAUAUUAACAACUUGUUGAUAUAGAAGUAGCGGAAUAUUCUAAUUAUUAUUGCAUCAUCGAACACAAUAUUUUUAUAUCACUUCUGUAUCAAAAAUUUAUCAAUAUUUAACAAACUAAAUUAGGUUGCUGGACUUGAUUUUAAUAAUUUAGAAAAAUCAAGUUAGAAAGUAUAGUAAAAUUAAAAUUUAAGCACCGAAAUGUCGCGUGCCUCAUAAUUUAAGGACCAAAGGAGUAAGUUACACUUUCGACAUUCAAAAUUCUGAACUUUAAACAAGAUUUCGAUUCAGUCUCUAAACUUUAAGUAGUGCAGAGUAAAUAUCCUUGCAUGAACUUGGUGGUGCAAUUUACUCGUAAUCUUGAAACAAUAACCUAGGCCUCAUUUGGGAUUGUUAUUAUUUUUCAUUCAUUUAAUGUAAAAUUUAUAUAUAAAAUAAUGCAUAAGGGGAUAAUAGAUUAUUUACAAUUUUUAUGUCCAACAUGUUUAUUUGCCAGUGUAACAUAAAAAAGCUUCAAAGCAACUUUUACUACUUUCAAAAUAUCUUUUUAAAAGAUAGACAUUUGUUACUUAGUAUGAGUGUGCAUGACAAACUAACCGAUCAUAAUAAUAAUAAUAAUAAAUUCUUUCGCUAGUAUAUUAGAUUAUACACAAGUUUUGUUUAAAAAAUAAAAUAAUAACAAUAAUGUGUAAUGAGACCUUAGUGUUAUAAAAAUUUUAAAAUUUAAAAAUACUUAUAAUAUUUUUUUUUAAAAGGGUUUGCAUGCAACGUUUAUGAGUAGCCCAUAAUGCGUCAAAUUUCGGAUUGGGAGCAUUUUUUUUUUAAAUUUUUUUUUAGUUUGCUGGCAGGUCCUGCUUGCCAGGUACCCUAAAAUAGUCAUAACGAUUUUUGUAAUGUGGAUACUGACAAAUUAUAGUAGACAGUUGAUUGGACCGUCUAUCUGUUGAAUAGAUUGUUGAUUGGCUGGUUUUCAGAGAGGUUAUUAAUUUUAGGACUGUUUUAAUUCUAACACACUUAAUUUUUUUUUUAUCUUCUAAUGCUAAUCACUAUUGAAAAUAUUAUAGUCUAUUUUAACCAAUCUUAUGGGAGCAUCGCUCCACGUACAAUGAUCAUUAGUCGGCAGUCACGCUCUAUCCGUUGUAUAACUCUAAGGUAUCGUUUGGUUCGGGUAUAUGCAAGAACUAGCUAUUACAGAGAUAGGUACAAAUAUGGGGAUAAGAAAAUUAGUGUUUGGAUGAAAAUUGGGUUGUUCCCAGGAAUAAGAACAAUUUUAGAUAGUUUUAUAUAGAAAAUGGUGGUGAUGAUGGGGAUAAUCGAGAACUACCAUUCUCGGAUAAAAAAUUAGUGUUUGGAUAUAAAAGGGAUAAGGGUCUAUUCUUAUCCCUAUCCUCUAACCAAACGCUGCCUAAAUCAACUAAGAAUAUUCAUCUUAUGUUUUCGCCUAGUAAUUGAUUCUGAUAUCUAAUUGUAAUGUCCGGCUUCUUAGGAGGAUCACUUAUUAUAAAACUAUUUUAGUCCUAACACACUUAAUGUUCUUAACCUUUUGAAUAUAUUCGCCAUUCAAAAUAUUAUAAUCAGAUUAAAAGAUUAUUAUUCUAUUAUACUUUAUGUGCACAAAAAUAUUUCAAAUUCCGAGAUGUCGCAAAAACUGGCAUACAACUUUUAGUGAACAAACCGAUUGUUCCUAGCGCAAGUGACAAAGGACUUGAUAAUUAGUACUCGAGGUCCCAAGUUCGAAUCAUAGUUGAUUCACAUUUCCAACUAAGUUUAUUUUUAGAAAAAUUAAGCGAAGCGGAUAGCAUGCCACAUUUCUCUCAAAAAAAAGUGCGGAUAAUGACGUACUUAAACCAAGAACUGGAUCUGCGUACGUACACUGAAACGGGACUAGAAAUAUAUAUACUAACAAUAAUCACAGGCCAGAGUACUCCUAUGUUUCUCACCCAAGUUCGUGGAAACAAUUUGGAUCAGGAAUAGCCCUAAGAAUCCACCUCAACUCAUCACAUACUCAUUAUUUUUAGCGCAGUUUAUUAAAAAUUUAAUAAUUGAUACCUAAAGUUUUAAGUGUAAAGUUCAGUUGCUUUAUAUUUUUAGCUGGAACUUUUUUUUUAUUUUUUAUAGAAAGAUAACAUAUUAUUUGCGCUAGAGAUGAUCGAUACUGAAUUUAUUAUUUUUUAAAAAAUGAGUGAAUAUAACAUACUUUCUUUCUCUCUCACAAAUGAAAAUAUAGAUAAAACAAAACAGCUGUAGAAACAUAUUCAUAAGGGGAUUUAAAUUCUAAUUAUGUAUAGAAAUUUUUAACCGGGAUUUAAAUUUUGAUUACGUAAAUCGGAUAUUUUCAAACGUAUGAAAAGUAUAUAGGUAAUUAUCCCUUAUUUUUAUUAUUUGGAAUGAUAUUAUAAUAUCUCUCACUUAUUACAUAUUUAAUUGUCAAUUAAGGUAAUAAAAUGAGAGUAAUUUCUCGCUUCGGUUACAGUGCGUAGCCAAAAAGAGUUACUUUCACGUUCAUUUAAGUAAUGUCUUUUUUUUCCUUCUUAUUAUUAUUAUUUUUUUAAUUUUUAAAGAGAUCACGUGCUUGGCACGUUUGAACUGAGUGACCCUUUAUUUCCUCACGUGAGAUAGGAAUUUAUGUUGAAUUGUAUUCUUGAAUAGGUAAUUAAUUUUUUUGUAGCAUUAUUUUGGGAGAGUAAUUUAGUUGAUUUUGCUUUGAGUAGAGAUGUCAACGGGUCGGAUUCGGGACGGAUUUUUAAAAAUCCGAAUCCGAACCCAACUCCAAACCCGAGAUCCGAAUCCGAACCCGAACCCGACGGAUUUUAAAAAUCCAUAUCCAAACCCGAACCGAACCAAAAAUCCGAAACCUAAACCCGAACUCGAACCCGAAAAUUUGAACCCGAAACUAUUAUUUUUUUUUUCAAUAUUUCAAAAUAUAUUAUAUUAAAUCUAAAUUUUUAAAAUACAAAUUCAAAUAUAACAUCAAAUUUUUAUAUAUAUAUAUAUAUAUUAUAUAAUACAAAAUAAAUUCGGGUUCUGGUCGGGUUCAGGUUCGGGUCGGGUACAAUCAAAAUCCAUAUCCGAAUCUAUAUUCGUCGGGUUUCUAUUUUUGAUAUCCAUAUCCGAAUCCAUAUCUAUAUCCAUCGGAUAUAUCCGUUUCAUUCGGGUUCGAAUUCGGAUAAAAUUUCAACUAUCCAUACCCAUUGACAUCCCUAGCUUUGAGGGUCCUUAAACUAAGCCACAUAACAUUCUUAAAAUUUUGCUUAAGAUUUUAAUGUAACGUUUUUAAACAGAGUAUUGAAAAGGUAAAAUAAGUCCGAGACCCCUAAUCAAUUAUACCACUUCUUGAAAUUCACUUUUUUUUUUUUUUCCUUUACUUUACACACGAUACUAAAAAUAUAUUUUGAUCCCCAAACUUUGAAAUGGAUGAUAUUUUGAUCCUCAAAUUUUUUUUAUAUUAUAAUUUUUAGUUUGAACUUUUUAAUUUUUUUUUUUUUUUAGAGAGAAAGAUAGCAUGCUACCCGCUUCGUUUAUUUCAUUUAGAAAUAAACAUAGCUGAAAAUGUGAAUCAACUAAGAUUCGAACUUGGGUCUCGGGUACCAACCAGCAAGUCCUUUGCCACUUGCUCUAGGGACGGUCUGUGAAAUUUUUAAAUUCUUGUAAUCAAGUUCUAUAGUACAAUUUUAUUAGCUAAAUAAUAAUGUAUUACUGAUAUGACAAUAAUGUCGCACUUUAGUCAUUCCACAUAAUCAACUGCAAUACUGACACACUAAUAUUAUAUCAGCGAUACAUCAUUAUCUGGCCAAAUAAAUUGUACUGUGAAACUCAAUUGUAUCAAUCUAAAAAGACCGAAUAAAAAGUGGUUUGAAAAUUAAAAUUUGAGGAAUAAAUUUGAGGAAUAAAACGUCAGGCUGGACAUAGUUAGAGGACAAAAGGUGCAAUUUAGCCUAAAUAAUUUUAACAAUAUAUCUCUAUUAUAUAAUUAAAAAUAGUAACUUACAGUAUUUGAUUUUCAGGAUUUAAAUUUUUUUUGGUUCCAUUGUAAUAAAACAGCUAAUUCUUUUCGUACAAAACAUUAAUUGUUCUAGAGCAUGUUAUUGUUGACAUUAGACUUUUGUGAAACGACUUUUUAAUCUUUCAAUUUUGACAACUAGACUUUCCAAAUUGAUGUGGCCAAUUUAGUAUUAGAGUUUCUGAAAAAGUAUGACUCAUUCAAACUGGAUCGAAAAUCUGGCUAAAUUCAACAAUUUUUAUAAUUAGCGUAAAAAUUUUUAAACGAUCAAACUUUUCACUCGAAUGUUCAUUUUCAGCAUAUAAUCUCAAUUCGAAAAAUAUUUUUUCAAGAUCUACACGUUGGACGAUAAAACUAUUCUGGCCAAAUUUGGGACCCAAAUUCAACUAUUUAAGGGCUCUAUUGUUUGCAUUUUUUAAUUAUUUUCAAAAUGUUUUUAUUUUUUGUAUUUUGAGUUCUAUUUUUUGGUUAUUUGAAAGGUUUAGGUUUGAAAACAUAUUAGAAUUUAUUAUCUUCAAUUUCAAUAAGAUUCGGGCAUCGAUUAAUGUAAUUACUUUUUAGAAUUAAUUAAUAAUAUUUUUCAUCUUUGUUGUAAAAUUGUGUUUUUUGUGUACCUCUCUAUCUACCCCUGUGCUUCUUUUUUCUCAACGCAACUCUUAGGCUCGCAUCACAAAUUUAUCAAAUAGUUAAUUGGCUCUUUUUUUUUUGUUAAAUUAUUAAUUAAACAGCCAACCCCUUCAAAACACAAAAAAAAUAGAAAAUCUUUUUAUGGAUUAAAAGGAGAACAAAAUGUUUUUAAAAAAAUUAAUGUUGAUUUUGACAACGAUCUUUAUUAUCUUUUUCAAAAAUUAGAGUAGGAAAGAAACAUUUUAAUGUAUUGAAGUUUUGCGGGAUCACAUGCAAAAUAUUUGUCAAGAAUAUAAGUGUUUAGCUAAUAAGUUUGCUUAACAAGAGGAUCCAUAAAACUAUUUAAUAAAAUUUAAGAAUCUAAUUAUCAAAUUUAAAAGUUCUAAUGCCUACUUGCAAAAUUGCAAAAGUGCAGAAUUUUUAUUUUUAUUAUUAUUUUACAUUUUUGUCUUUUUAGUAACAAAUUGUAAAUGUAGAAAUAUAUAGAACUCAUGUGAACUACAUGAUCAAACUCUCUAUGAGAUUCAUAGUUGUAUUACUUAUACCUUACUUAUUUAUAGAUAAAGCUGAUUCGGAAUCGUCUUUCAUUCCAAGGCAUAUUUAUUUAUAUCCUUACGCCCUAGUCUCGUUGGCAAGGUUCUGAUCCCUAACUUUUUUUAUCCUAAUUACGUAGUUAAAGAAUCCAAAAUAGUAGUCUAAUUAGAGAUAAAGAGAUUGGUCUCUAAUGCAGGGUUCGAUUCCCUGUCUAUCCAAAGUUCGAAAACGGAAACUACGAACCUGCUUACUUAAUUCCGUUUGGUAAAGAGCUGCUCCGUUUUGACUCAUCUACUAAAUUCUUUAAAAUUUUAAUUUUGUUAUUCAACAUUUCAAUUUGUUUGAUUUAUAUUGUUUGAUGCUUUUUUCGUUAUAAAAUUUAUAUUUGCUUAUUUUAAUAAAUCUAUAAUUAUACAAAUGGCAUAAAAUAGCAGUUGUGAUAUUAUUAAUUUUUAAAGGGUAUUAAUAAAAUUAAUGGUCCCUAGAAGGGCAUCAAUGGAAUUAUACACAACUCAUUGGUUUUUUUUUUUUUUUGGUCAGUGGGACCCAUUGAGUGAGCUGUACUUGUCGGUGUCCUGUCGAGGCCGUUACUGGUGCAAAAUCCAAAGCAGGGUUUCUUCUCAGAAGAGUCAACGCAGUUGCAUUAGUCCCGUAAUUUUGAACAACCCCAGGGGCAAUUUUGUCAUCUCACAUGCAAUCAUUAUUUUUUAAAAUCAUAUNUAACAGUAUAAUAUAAGAGGGGUAAAAAUUUUUCUAAUGAAAUUUAAUGACAGAAACAUAUUUGAAAAUAUCGAAAUUUCUACAAAGAUAAAACUUUAUAAGAAUAUAUUUGUCAUUUAUUUUAUUUAUAAGAUUCUGUAUAAAAUUAACCCUAUGUUUGAUCGGGCCUAUCACUUCGUGUUGUAGGCGUCCGAGGGUGGGAAUUAAAUGAUGUUGAGGCACUUUCGAGGGUGAAUUCAUCGUUAGCGUUACGAUUUCGCUUCCACUAACAUUAUUAUUAUUUUAUUAUAAUAAUAAAUAAUAAUAAUAAGCAUUAUUAAUUUAUUAUUUUGAGAUUAAAUCUAUGAGAACUAUCCGAUCGAAGGUCACUGAAAAUUUCACGGUCAAAUACGGAGAACCAUGCACGCCGCAUUUAUAGCUUCAGGAGAGAGUAUUAAAGAUCACUGAGAUUUUCAUGCUAAAAUAAAAUGCAGAAUAAAUUAAUUUUUAUUCUAUUUCUAAUUUAGAUUAAUUUUGUACAUAUGUUUGAAAAUAUAGUGCAUUACUAUAAAUAUAUCUCUAUAAAGUUCAACUUCUAUAUGUUGUUCAUGUAAAAGUUUUAAUAUUUUUAAAGAUGUCCCUCUGAUUUGUUACGGUUAAAGCACUGUUUAUUUUGUAAGCGAAAUAACCUUUUUGCUAUCAUAAAUAUGUCACUCCAAAAAUUUUAACUGUUAAUUGAAGAAGGGUAAAAAAAUCAAUUAACUAACGAUAGGGAUAUAUUUAAAAAUAUCAAGACUUUUACAGUAUUAUAUUUGCAAUUCACUAUAUUUACAGGAACCUAUAUAAUGUUAAUAUUUAUAAUUUUUGUUUACUAUUUUACUUAGGAUAUAUCAGAGUGGCGGGACAGAUUUUUGACGAGCCGAGACGAUUAAGAAAGGUUAAUCCUAUUCAGAGCAGAUCGGGACUGCAGCUCGAUCAAUCCAGAUACACUUGCACCUGUACAAUCAACUUUUAAAUGGUAUUCACUUAAUCACACUAGUGUAGCCACAUUGGUAAGAUAUUAAGAUACUACGUAUGUUGCUGAAUUUGAUCAGAUUCAAUUAUCUCGAUGCCUGAUUAAUUAGCAGGAAAUUUUAAUUUCUCUACUUUGUUACCUUGUAAAUCUUAAAUGCUUGCUCCAUCAUGCAUGUGGUGGACCCUAAUAUAAUUCAAUUUAGGAUCAAAAAAUCAACAACUUGCCCUUUCAGUAGCAUUAUAUUAAACUCCCACAACUAAUAAUCCAACCUAAAGGUGCACAUGGUCUGGUCCACUUCUUGAUGUGGAUGGAUACCUAUGAACUUGGAUACACUAGUAUUGUUUCUAUAAAUAAUUGCUUUAACCAUUGUGCACCAAAUCACCGUAGCAGUUUUUGUUUGCUUACUUCUGACUGUUAUUCAAAAUUUUUGAGUUUAUUCUAAAUUCGUCAAAAUAUCCUUCUAAGCCCUAACUCUCAUUAGUAGAUCUUAGGGGCUUGGAGAUCUUUAAAAAAACUUUUAAAAAUCAAUAAGAAAUUAGAAAUAGAUUAGAUAUUUUUUGAAAUAUGAGAGAGUGUAUUAGAUAGUAUUUUGAGUAAACUUCAAAUAUUCCCCUUGUGGUUUCACACUUUCUUAUUUUAGUACCAUAUAGUUUAAAGUGUAUCAAUUUAGCCCCUGUGGUUUCACACUUUCUCACUUUAGUUCAGUGCGGUUUAAAGUGCAUAAAUUUAGUACCAUGUGGUUUCAUUUUUUUUCUUUUCGUCGGCUCUUCUUUUAAUAUUUCGUUAAAUUAUAUACAGAAAACUUCAUAUACCCUAUCUAGGUUUAUCGAAUAUUUACUUUAAUACCUUUUAGUUUUAACUUUGUCACUGAUUUAUUUUUUUCUUCGUUAAUAUUUCGUUAAAUUAUAUACAAAAAAACUUCAAAUACCCUACCUAGGUUUAUCGAAUGUUCACUUUAGUACCUUUUAAUUUUAACUUUGUCACUGAUUUAACGAAAAAAAUUAGUGAAAUGGAUAAUAAAAAGAGAAAAAUGAAACCACAGGAUAGUAACUUGAUACACUUUUAAAUAACAGGAUACUAAAGUGAGAAAGUGCGAAACCUCAGAGGCUCACUUGAUACACUUUAAACCACAAGAUACUAAAGUGAAAAAGUAUGAAAGUAUAAGGGGGUAUUUGAAAUUUAUGCUAGAUAUUAUUUUAUUACCAUACGCUUCAUGUGAAUAAAGUCAAAGUAGCUUUUGGAUGGUUGCAAAAGUUGGACAAGGGGAAGAAAAGUUUCCUUUCCAUUCUCUCUGGCUGCUAUAAUUAUUAUUCUAUCCAUAAAUCAAAUAUCUGUCCUCAGAAAUUAUAAUUGUCUCUCAAUUAAAAUGCUCCAUGUCAGUGAGUACAAAAUUACUCAUUCCAUAAAUUAAAGAAAAAUAAAAAUACAAGAAAUUUAUCUAAAGGGUUAAUUACAUUCAUGUUCCCGUAAAUAUAGUGAAUUAUAAAUAUCUUUCUGUAAAGUUCAACUUUUAUAAGUUAUUUCUGUAAAAGUCCUAAUAUUUUCAGAUAUAUUCCUCUGGUUUGUUACCGUUAGAGAACCGUUAGAAAACUGUUUAUAUUUUCAAUUUUUCCAUCAUAAAUAUGUCCCUCCAAAAGUUAUAACAGUAUAAUAUAAGAAGAGUAAAAAUGUCAAAAAUUAAUCCGGAUAAAGUAUUUAAUCUAUGAUUAACUAAACUUUUCUAACGAAUUCUAACGGCAGAGACAUAUCUGAAAACAUUAGAAUUUUUGCAAGGAUAACGUAUGAAAGUUGAACUUUACAGAAAUAUAUCUGCAAUUCACUAUAAUCUUUUAACAUUUUGAUUUUACCAUCUAACUUUUUAAUUUGUUUGAUUUGAGUCCAUCUAUUCACUUUGACUUAAAAAAGUAAACAUGUCGUUUGUUUUUACAGAUUUAGUUAUAAUAUUCCAUACAAUUUUAGCAACUACACAUUGUUUAAAAUUUAAAGUCAAAAGUAUCUUCGACUGACUCAAAAAAAUAAACUGAAAAGUUGGAUAAAAAAAUUAAAAUUUUAGAAGAUUGAAUAGCCGAUUUAAAAUUAUCUAUAACUCAAAUAAGUUCUGUACGAUUUUUACUAUAAACAAAAUGGGUAAUUUCACUGGUACCCUUCAAAGGUUGAAAAUUGUAAAUGCCCUCAUAAAAUAAGUAAUAUCAUGAUUACCGUUCUAAAUAUAUACAUUCUUUCAAAUCUACCUUAUAAACUCCAUUAAAAAUUGUGAUUUUCACAUUGGAUUAAAAAUUAAAUUAUUGAUUUUGCCCUUGACCCUUGAAAGGUCCCUAACUAUAUAAACCCCCUCAACUAUAGGAUAUUUGAAGAAGGUCCCUAUUUUUUUUUUUUCUAUAUAAAGACCCAAUCAGUUUUCAUUUAUUAAAAAAAAUUUAUAAAUUAAAUUAAAUAUUUUGUUCAAAAUUAAGACACUCCACUAGCAACCAACUAGUAAAUCUACAAUAUUUAAUUUUUUAUCCAACGAAAUUUGCAAAUAAAGAUAAAUUUGAAAGAAUGUUGAUAUAUUAAGAAGGGGAAUCAUAAUAUUACAGAUUUUGUGAGAGCAUGCAUUCAUUAUAUUUUCAAUCUUUUGGAGGGUAUUGGUGAAAUUAUCCCUGAAAUAAAUGAAAUGAGGGACUAGUUGUAGGUAAUAAAUAAUUUCAUCAUAAAUAAGGUCAACAUCACCAAACCAAACUUGUGCCUACCCAUUCCCAGCUAAAGCCUUUUACAGUUUAGAAUUAAUGAUAGAGAUCACAGGUUCUAACUAAUUUUUAUGGCCCAUUUCUCCUUUGAGUUACUCUAAUUGGUAACUAGGUACACCACACUAAAACAAAUUUCACACUUAAAAAAGAUUUAAACAAUAACUAGCGACGCUUUAAAGCAUCGACAAGUAUAAACUCGACACUUGUAAAAGCGUCGAGCAAAGAGUGGCUAAGUAAACAGUUCGGAAUAAAUAUACGUACCGACGCUUUAACAUAGCGUCGGAAGAUUUUUAUCAAUAUUUGAUAAAAAUAUAUUUAUUGAUAAUACUUACUCAUGAUAUUGGCAUAUGCAAAUAUUGAGAGCGUUAAAAUAAAGCUUCAACAUUGACUAAAACAUAUUUUGUUGUAGUGCCACCACUUUAUUUUAAGAGUAAACUUUAAACUACCUAACCUUAUAUGUUAUAGUGCGUUUUUACUUUAUCCCUCUAUUGUUCAGAAAGUUAAAUAUAGUUACUUUAUAAUUUUAUUUUUAUUUCAACGGAAAUAUAUCGUCAAAUAGAAUUGUAAAGUGAAAUUUACUAAAACAAAAAUAAAAUCAUAAAAGAGUUAAAUAUAAUUUUUUGAAUUAUAAAAUAGUAAAAUAUACUUUUUUUUAACCACAGGAAGGCAAAGUGAACAUGCACUAUACCACGCAGGGACAAAUUGAAAUUUACCUACAUUUUAAUUAUUUAGUAAUUAUAAUUUAUCCCGAGUAGAAGUUUAAUUUAGGGUAAAAUUCAAAUACCCCUGUGAUUUCAUACUUUCUCAUUUUAGUACCCUAUGGUUUAAAGUGUAUCACGUUAGCCCCUGUGGUUUCGCACUUUCUCAUUUUACUACUCUGUGGUUUAAAGUGUAUCAAGUUAGUGCCAUGUGGUUUCAUUUUUCUCUUUUUAUUAUCCAUUUCACUAAUUUUUUUUGUUAAAUCAGCGACAAAGUUAAAAUUAAAGGAUACUAAAAUGAAUAUUUGAUAAACUUAGGUAAGAUAUCUGAAGUUUUUUGUAUAUAAUUUAACGAAAUAUUAACGGAGGAAAAAAAAUUUAGUGACAAAGUUAAAACUAAAGGUGUUGAAAUAAUAUUCGAUAAACCUAAAUAAGGUAUCUGAAGCUUUUUUUAUAUAAUUUAAUGAAAUAUUAACAAAAGAGCCGACGAAAAGAGAAAAAUAAUAUCACAGGGUACUAAACUGAUGCACUUUAAACCAUAGGGUACUAAAAUAAAAAAGUGCGAAAUCACAGGGUACUAAAUUGAUACACUUUAAACUAUAGAAUACUAAAAUAAAAAAAGUGUGAAACCAUAAGGUGGUAUUUGAAAUUUUUUUAAAAAAAAAAAAACCUAAAACGUAGAACAAAUAGUUAUAAUUUACAUUGGAAAUUGUGUCUGUAAUUGUUCUCUGUUCUUGUUUUCUAUUGUUAUUUUUGGGCUUUCAAUUAAUAAGCUUCUCUUUCUCUCUAGAUUCGAGGACGGCGUAGGAAGUACCACUCAAUUUUUAUUAUUUUUUGUUUUUUUAAGUGAACUUCAAAUUUCUUUGAUAUGGUUUAGCUUAUUUUUUAUUUUGCUAUACUGUAAUUUUAAAAAAUUUACCGUGCCUUCCUAUAGGUUAAUUUUUAUUUUAUUAAAAAUUUCUAUAUCAAAUAGGAUAACAAAUUAAAAAAUUAUAAAAAAAUUAUAGAGGGGCGAAAUUGAAAAAAUAAAUAAAUAAAUAAAUCAUAGAAUGAUGUGAGCUAAACUACAUAAGGGCAAAAUAAAAUUUUUUAAAUGACGAGGUGACAAAGUGAAAAUAAGAUAAACCGCAGAAGAACAAUUUGAAGUUCACCCUUUUUUUUCCAAAAAAAAACGGUUAAGAGUUAAAACUAAUCUUUAUCGUUUUAAUUAAUUUUAUCAGUAAUAUUACGCCCACUUUCUGUUGAAGAAAAAUUCAAAUUUUUAAAUUUUACUUUAUUUGUAUUUAAUAUUUAUUAUUAUUAUUUUAUUAAUUUAUUUAUUUCUUUCUUUCUUGGCGCGAAAAAAAACUCCUUGUUAUGUUUCUUAUGCCUAAUGGGAGAGAUAUGGGUCGAAUAUUUUCUAGCGUUCAACUUCCUUUCCCUCAUCCUCUAUAUAUUCUCUUUCUGCUCUGACAAGAUAUAACAGACAUUGAAAGUAAAAUUAUGAAAAGAAUAGAUAUUUUCCUCUUUUCUCACUCAUUUUCAUAUUCUCUUUAUUUAUUUAUUGAGUGUUGAAAAAAUUUUCGUCAAUUUCUGCCAUGAUCGUCAUACUCGCAGGGGAAAAAAUUUCGGCCAUAUUAUUGGGUGGUUCUUGGUUAAUUCCGCAACGGAAAUAUGUUUUAGGACAUUACUACAGAUGCUUCCGAAUAUAUAGAUAAAAUUUUAUAAAUUUUUAGAGUUUAUCUGUAAAUUUUAUUUUAUUUUUAUCACUAAAUUAGUUAGAUCUUAAUUACAAUUAGAUUUAACAUAUUAAGAGAUUUAUAUAAAUGGCAGCAUGAUCCGUUACUUAAAAAAUAAUAAUAUUAAAUCUUUUAAUAUUGAUUAAUUCUAUUUUUUUGUCUAUUUUUUAAAGUGUGUACAGUAACAGAUUGUGAGAUGAUCACGCACACACGCUACCUAAAAAUAAAUAAAUAAAUUAUUUUAGCAUAGAUUCGAUUUCUAUCUACUUUUAAAAAGUGGGCGUAACUACAAAUCACGUAUUCACGUGUUUGUGUAAUCUCAUGCCGCGUAUAAAAAUCAAUUAUUUUAGAUAAAAAAUUUACAAAACUUGUCUAAAUUAAUUAUAGAUUAUUUUAAAUUGAUCAUCAAAUCUUUUAAAAUUUUAAUUAGUUUUACUAUCCGAUAUUUCAACUUAUUUGAUUUGAAUUAGUUAAUAAUAUUUUGAUUUUAAAUUUCAGACUAAUUGCUAAUUUUAUUGAAUAUAUAGUUGUGAGAAUUGCAUUGAGGUUAAUAACGAAUAACUAAAUAUCUAAAUAUAAAUAACGUAUUCAUAUUUUAAAAUCAAAAUUUUGAAACAUUAUAUAGUCAAUUCAGAUAAGUUUGAAACGUUUUCACCAUUAUUUUAUCAUAGAUUCUUUUUCAUCAUGUCUAUUCGAUCUUGGACAGUUGGAUAUGAGCACAACAUUAUUCCUAAUCUCAUCGUCACAUGUGAUUUAUGAAUAUAACAACUUUGAAGUGAAUUAAAUUAGGAGAAAUCUGGAUCUGUCAGCUGACACCACACAAGUCCAAGUAGGGUAGACAUUUAAGAAAGGAUAUUUAGAAGCUUCAUGUUGCUUGCUUGUUCAAGUAUAUUUAGGCGCCGUUUGGUUCUAUGUUAACUAUGAAUACAGUAUAGUUAAAUACACAUAUAAUUGGCAAUACAAUAAUUAUAAUUAUAUAAAUCUUAUUUGGUUGCAUGAAGUAGAAAGUACUGUUGCUAUAGAGACUUAAUUUGCUUAGUGGCAUGCUGUUGAAUGUCACGCCCCGGAUGUCUCGUUCCCCGGGCACGCCGACAAAUCCGCCGUAUAUAAAGGAAUUUUUUCUAUAUACGAAGCGACAACAGUAACUGUAAACAUACAAUACUACAAACAGUAGUAUAGAGCUGCUCGAGUAAACAAAAGCUAAACAAACUGAGCCUCAUAUACAUAGUUCAAAAACCAAAAUACAGAGUUACUCGCACUGGCGAGUUAAGUACUAUGUACAUAAGCUCAAGGUAAAACAACUGCCUGCAGUAGGGUGCCUCUAGCUCUGCUCAGCGGGUAGGGCUCUAACUAGCGACGCCCUUGCCUCGAUCCUGAUCCGCGGGAAGCGCAGCAGCCGAAACCUGUGGCUCUGCAAAACAGGGGUAACAAUUGGGCGUGAGAACUACUGUAAAAACAAGUAAUCCUCAGUGGGUGCCGCCCAAAAUAAUAUCGGUCCACCCACCAAGUCUACAGAAGAGAGCCAGGAUAGUAGAAAAAUGCAGAAAAUAACUCAACCGCUACAAAUCACUACACUAACAUGCUCUACACUAAUCAACUGUAGGAAAUGUCAAAUCUGACCCAAUCCAAUCGGGACUGUAAUCAUACCCGUCCCUGGAACUGUGAAUACACCCGUCCCUGCCCAGUUGCGACUAUCCAGCUAUCUCCACACUAACUGGUCCGUGGAGAGCAAGUCCAACCGGCAUGAGCGACACCAACGCAAAAGCACAAAGCCGUCUCCGGAGUGGCACUCGUGGGCGCUACCAAACCGAGUAUGCAGCGUAUCUCUGUCGAGCUCAAUCAGGCUCUCGAAAGCCAAAGUCCAGUAACUAACUCAAUUUGGUCUAACAACCAACAAGUAACGUGCCCUCGGCACAAUCUGACGCCAAAAGGCGAUACGAGUCCACCGUCGACCCAACGCCACCCAACAGUCUGGAAACAGCUCAAACGACCCUGUAAAAAUCCACUCGGCGUAGCAGCACGAGCGUAAAAAUAUUGUAAACUACCUGAAGUACUCGUCUCGAGGAUACAGCGACAGUACAAUUUUAUAACGGCUCCUAGAGCUAAAUCAGGCAGUUUAAACAUGUGACUGGUCCAAAUCGCAGGUUUUCUCCUAAUUCAAAUUCCAAGUCCAACAUGUAUAAUCUACUCAAUUUAUUACCACAUGCUCCAAAUUCAAAUUUGCAAUCUACAAUAAAAUCCAUGAAUUCGAGCUAGACAAGGCUAUACCAACAAUCGAGAUCUAUACAUACCGACGAUUAGAACUUAGGAGUCAAAACCGAUGUAACCCACCUCGCACGCUAAUCCCUGGUAGCACGGAAUCCCCUCAGCUGUGGCACCGCCUGCUGGAUCGACUGAAAACGCCCGAUUCCCGCAAUCGAGCUAACUCCAAACUAUAAACACCAAAAAUUCUCAAUUCAGUCCAAAAUCCACAGCAGCAGAGAAGAGAAGGAUUUCGACUAAGCUAACCUUCAUCAAAAUCCGCAAGUAAGGGCUUCGUGGAUUCCUCUCGAAGUCCCGAAUCCAACGAACCAAGUCUCGUCGCAAUCCGAUGCUCCUACGUCGAGAACGAGCUAAAAUACUAACAGUCGACGGUGAAAUUCAGCAAACUACACUUCUCCGAGUUGAAGUAGUAAAAACUUGACCAAAAUCCAGGGAAAUGCUGAAUUACUCACCUCGACAACACCGGGCACCGCUGCAACAGCAAAAACGGCGAAAACCUCCGCUCGCCCGGCCUUCUCGCGCUACCCCGGCGUCAAACACGAGCUCGAACGACUCCGUGGCGCGACGUCGACGAUGAAAUCUGAACUCCACCCGAGCUUCACCGUGCGCAAGAACCCAGCUAGAGAGAGAGAGGAGAAGAAGAAAAGCUUCCUCUCUCUGCUUUACACCACACUAUAUAGAGGGAGAGAAAGGGGUGAUACAAACGAGGGAUAAAAUUACCCAUUUAGCCCUCUACCUACCCCCUUAUACCGGUACACGGGCUCCUGUACCGGUACAAGAGCCAACCCGAGAACGGCUAUAUCAGUGCGCGCUGGUUGUACCGGUAUAGCGUGCUGGUUGUACCGGUACAGCAAGCAGAGAAAUCUGCUAUUUUGCAGAUUUCUUCGCUAUAAGCUGCCCUCGCGUCGCACGGAGUCCGUUUUGCGUCUAUUUGGCGCCAACGCAACUCAGACUUGUCCCGACACUCUACAGAGCUGUCGACAAGUCUCCACAGCUGAACACCAAGGAUCUCACAUUGAAAGUGUAUCAGGUGUGAGAUUAUCCUAAUGUACGUAGAAAAUAAAAAAAAUAUAUUUUUAAAAGGUUUUUAGGGAGGUAAUCUUAUUUUUGUUUAAAAUUACUCAUUCUCCAAUUGCUCUAAUUGAAACUGGGGUUAAUUUGGACGUAUUUCCAAUUGCUUCAGUUGAACCUCCUCGCACAGUUGCAAUUGCAACGAUCGAAUUCAACUGUAUCAAAACAAAUGCCAAAUUUCGAUAUGUAUGCAACUACAAAUGUAGUGCAGUUGUAACUAUGUGCAACCAAACAACCCCCUAACCUAGCAACAUAUAUAGGGUAAUUAAACUAUACUUUUGGUCCUCCAACCAUGAGUGCGAUACUCUAAUCCUCAAGCUUUAAUUUGUUGUAAUUUUUUACUCAAAAUUUCUUAAUUGCUGCAGUCAAGUCCCAUAACGUAAUUUAGUUUCUAAAUCUUGACAAAUUAUUGAUACAGAAGUGAUGUUGGAGUAUUAUGAUUGAUGAUGCAUGCGAUAAUAAUUAAAAUGAUAUAUUACUUUCACAUCAAUAAUUUAUUAAUUUUUAACCAGCUAAUGUAUUUGGUUGUGAGGCUUAAUUGUAACAAUUCAAAAGUUCGAGCCAAAAAUUAUAAAAAAUUAAAGUUCGAAGACGAAAACAUCAUGGGCCUUAUAAUUUUUGCGAAGAAUAAAUUACCUAAAGGCAAUUUAUAUAUGAUAAGAAAGAAUUUCUUUUAUUUUCAUAAAGAACAUCAUAUUAUGUAGAUUCCAAUUAUUUAGUUAUAGUAAUAGUGCUGAAGUUUUUAUUGAAAAAUAAAAAAGUACAAUUUUUUGACAUGAUAUUAUUAAAUAGCCCUCAAAUAUUAGACAUGAGUUUUUGAACUUGAAAACCACAAAAAUGCUUUUACACAAUUUGUUUACACAGAAGAUCCAUACUUAUUUGAGUUCCAGCUAUAAAGUGGAUCCAAAUCAUUCAUAUAUGAAAAUAAUUAAUAAAGCGAUCGUUACUAGAGCAAGUGGCAAAGGGCUUGAUGGUUGGUACCCGAGACCCAAGUUCAAAUCCUAAUUGAUUCACAUUUCCAGCUAAGCUUAUUUCUAAAUGAAAUAAAUGAAGCGGGUAACUUGUAACAUAUCUCUCAAAAAAAAAGAAGAAAAUAAUUAAUAAGGGUAUUGAAUAAUAAAUAUAUUUCUACAAUGUUUAACUUUUUUAUUUUUAUUUCGGUAAAAAUUCAAGUAAUAUUCAUAUUUGUCCCUCUGGUUUGUUAUCAUUAGAGCACUAUUUAUUUUUUAACAGCAGAAAAGCGAAAUGACAUUUUUGCCCUUAUAAAUAUAUCCCUCCAAAAGUCCCAAUUGCUAGAAUUAUACAGAAAUAUUUUCCAAAAAAAAUAUUUUAUCUAAUAAUAUAAGAGGGUAGAAAUAUCAAUUUAACUUAUUCACUAAUUAAGAUUAAGUAUUGUACCUAUAGUUAAUUAUAUUUUUCUAAUAGAUCCUAACAGCAAGAGAAUAUUUGAAAAUAUUAAGACUUUUGUGGGGAUAAAAAUAAAAAUUAAACUUUAUAGAAAUAUCUCUACUAUUCAAUAUAUUUAUAGGGAGCUGUAUGUAAUUAACCCAAAUAACUAUGAGGUUUAGGCUUAGUUUGGUAUUGAAGUCUAUAUGACGUUAUUAGCUAGAUAAAAUAGCGUUGGGGUAAAAUUAUAUAGGAAUAUGCUUCUGUAUUCUCCGGUGGAACCGCAUAAAAUAUAUUUUAAUCGACUCAUUAUAAUAUGCAGAACACAAUAUUAAUUACGUACGAAAACAAACAUAAUAUUUUCCUCUUAUACUUUCUCAUCGCACGUCACGUAAUCUCCUCGCAAUUCCAAACGAAGCCUCGGAGAACUAGUACUUAUUUCGGUGCAAACAUAUGACCUUUUAAAUUAGUCUUUUUUGUUCUUUUCCUCUGAACUGAAAAUCUCUUUGUGUCUGCAUAACCUACAAAAUCUUACAUACAAUAGUAUGUUCCCACAACUUGCAUCGAUCCAAUGUUUCUAAAAUAAGGCGAGUGAACUAAAAUUAAGCUCGGCUUAAUUUAGAACCGACUCACCAUGAAAGCUUGAAUAUUGUUUCAGACUCGAAGUCAAAUCCAAUCAAACUCGGCUAACUCAAUCGUGUUAUCUGAAACUCAAUGAUCGAUGAGUCUGAUUUCUUAGUGAGUAAUGCACGAUAUUACUGCUCAGUAAUUUUCUAUAUAUUAAAUAGUAAAAAUAUUAAGCUAUAGGUACGUAUCAUAGGUGUAUAAAGUAGUAAUAUGGGGAUAUCAUUAAUGUUGAUAAUAAUAAUUAUAAUUAAUAAACAACUCUAUGGGCCUAUAUAUGUUUAGAAUAUAUACAUAUAGAGAGAGAGAGAGAGAGAGAGAGAGAGAGAGAGAGAGAGAGAGAGUAUUAUGUUUAAAACUCUAAUAAGUUUUUGAUUGACUCACUUAAAAACUCCACUCUCGUUACUUUCGAGUUGCAUGCAUUUACUAUACGCCUUGCAAAUCCAAGUUCUCAUAUUAGAAUAAGGAAAAAAGAGCAUGAAUCAAAAAAAUAAUUCCAAAUAUACUCCACUCCUAGUGAAAAAAAAAGAAAAAAUCUUAAGCCUCAUCAUACUUCAUUUAAUUCUCAAUUUGGGCAAGGACGCACAUUACAAAGCAUAUUAUCAUGUGUCACGCCAAACAUAGAUCGUUUUAUGGUUCCAUGUGAACAUCACAUGCACCACUUAAGUAUGCUAUUAUCAGGUACUCUAACAUGCUUUUAGUAGUAAGUAGUAGGGCCCUUGUGAGUGAUCUAUUUGAUGAUUGACACAUAUUUAAUUAUCUAGGUAAAUUAAAAAAACUAUAGCAAAAUUAUAUGGGGAUUCUCUUUAUAAAUCAUUUGGAAAAUAGGCCUUUCAAUUAUGAUUUUUUUUAAACAAAAAUUAAGGCCUUUUUAAUUUUAGCCUUUUUUAGUUAAAUUAUUUUUUCAUUAAUAAGAUAAAAGUUGCGGCUUAAUUUUACGGUGAUUUUGUUGAAUAUAACUUCGUUAAUAGUUUUUGAACUUACGAUCCUGCAAAAUUUAUUAAUGUGUUAAUUGCAUGCAAUGAGUACGUAGUCUCUAAACUUUAAUUCAAAGUUUCAUUUUGGUCCUUAAACAUUUGAUUUUGUUGUUUGGGUGUUUCAUAUUAAUACUUAAACUUUCAACAUUAUUUCAUUGUAAUUCUUAUUUUCGAAAAACAUGUAUAUACUAUUUGUACCUAGUUCGUCUUAUGUUCAUACAUUAACAUAAAUUUCACCGAUUGUUUAUUAAACUGAUACCUUUUGUUUAACAGUCCAACUUCUAAAUAAAAAAAAUAUCGUUCCUUAAUUAAUGGAUCAUGAAAUUGAAAUAUAUGUUGAGAAUACUUUGAAAGAUGCAUUGGGACUAAAAUCAAACUCUAAUUUAGAUGCUCCAGCAUCGAAAUUAAAAGUAUAAGGACCAAAAUGAAACCGAGAAGAAUGUUAAGGGUCUAAUUGUGCAAUUUAACUAUUUAUUAUAUAUUAACUGUUAAUAGCUGAUAUAAAAAGAAAAAUCAAAAUAUUUAAGUAACCCAAGAGAAAACUAAAAAAAAAAAACAAGGUAAUAAAAAAACUGAGAAAAGAGGAGGUCCCUAUAGUAUAGUGUACACUAAGGUACGAUGCAUACACCGGAUUUAGUUAAAUAAUUAAGGCAGAAAUGUAUAAAGGCCCCCACACUAUAGGCUGUUCUAAAAUAGCUCCCUCAACUUUCUUUUUUUUUUUUUUUCCGAUUAAGGCUUCUUAAACUUCCAAUUAAUUUUUAUUGCAGUUUUAACAUUCAGUUGAGUUAAGAAUUUAUUAAAUUUGAUGACUCUUACUAACUAUUAGUUGGUCACAUAAAUAAAUCUAACAGAUGACAAUAUCGUAAUUUUACUGUGAUAGAUCAUUACAUGGCACGCAGACGAGAUACGCUUACGCGGGCUUAUUAUAUGCCGUUCUGUCGUCGAGUUUUCGCGGCGACAAAGAUAUUGGGUUAAGAAGAAUACUAGUAUAAUAUUGUAGUUUUUCAUUUUUUUUUUCCCUUUUUGGGCAGUGCAAAUUAGAUUUAAGGUUUUAUAAAUAAUUAUUUAAUAUGGAUUUUCCAUGAAUUUAGGGCUUUAUCAGUAGUUCUAAUUGAAUUUGGUUGUGGACAUUCCAUUGAUGUGUUAGAACCAAAAUAACUUGGAUUCUGAUUUUAUAUUCUUUCUUGUAUAAGAAAAUAGGAUAAAUAUUCUAAAUAAAAUACCGAUUCUACUCAAUAUAAAGAAUGAUCCAAAAACAUUCAAAUAAGUUAUGACUUUUAAAGAUGCGGCAUUCUAGAAAGUAGUGAAAAAUAAAUUGGAUUCGUUAUUAUCUAAUAAUACUUGGGUCCUAAAUAAUUUAUUGCCUGAAUCAAAAUCAACUGGAUGCAAAUAAAUAUUUAGAAAAAAAUAUAAUACAAAUGCAUCUAUAUAAUUUAAAGCCAGAUUAGUAGCUAAAUGAUAUAGGCAAAAAGAGGAUGCGGAUCAUUUCGACACUUUUGCACUAGCUUUUAAGAAUAACAUCCAUUAAAGUGUUGUUAGUACUUGGUUCAGUUUAUAAUCUUUUUGUACAUCAAAUGGGUGUUAAAACAACAAUUAUAAAUAAUGAACUAGAUUAAAAAGUUUAUAUGAAUUAACCUGAAGGAUUUGUACUAUCUUUAAAUAAAAAAAAGUUUAUAAAUUAAUUAAAUCUUUAUAUGGCUUGAAGUAAGCGCCAAAAUAGUGACAUGAAAAUUUUGAAUCUAUAACAUUGUUCAAUAAAUUUAAAUACAAUAAUAUGGAUAAGUGCAUUUGUUUUAAAUUUAUAGAAGAAUGGGGUGUAAUAAUAUGUCUAAAUAUUGAUGAUAUUCUUAUAAAUGGGACAAAUCUAACUUCUAUAUUUAAAAUUAAAAAUUUAGGAGUAAUUGCUUAUAUGCCAUUAAAAAGUUUUCAAUUUUUUUUAUUUACUCCUCUUAAUUAGAAUGGUAAUAUAAAAAAAUACCCUCUUAACGUUACAAGUUAUUUUAAAUACUUCUAAAGUUAAAUUCUAUUAGUGAAUUGUUAACAACGGCUGUUAUUUCUGUGAAAGUACUAUUUUGCCUUUUCAAAUAUAUUCUUUUACUGUCACCGAUUUUUUUUAUUUGUCCUUAAGUUAGGGCAAAAGAAGUGUUUUAAAUUUUUUGUCUUUUCAAAUAUACCUUUCGAGCAUUACUAAUUUUUUUUAUUUCCCACUUAAGCGCAAAAGAGGAAUACAUAUAUCCCUUAAACAAAGUUUAAAUGAAUUAUCAUUAAAAAAAAAAAACAUGUAGAGCCAAAAGUUUUGGUUCAAAGCGGGUAGAUAAACAUUAUUGAACUUAAUUUUCAAUUUGAAAAUGACGUUCAAUUAUUUUUAUUUUAUAUGAAGGUACUGGUUUUGGAGCUAUAGUUAUUUUAUACUUUUUAAUUUGUUUUAUUGAAAUUUUUUUAUACUAGCAUAUAAAAGGAUCCAAAAAAAUAACAUUAGUUGAUUUUUUUUAUUAUUUUUCUGACCUCUUUUUCUCUCACAAUUGACUUUGGCACUAUUCAAGAGGAAGCCAAUUACAACAUUUUGAAAAAGUGACAUUACAGGUGACUUGCAUUAUUUAGACCAAACAAUGAAAAUGAUUAUGUACAGUCCAAAAUAACUACUUACUCUUCUCGAUCCACUUUUUCUAGAAUAAACACAGGACUGUUUGAUUUAGAUUCUGAAAAAGUAAUUUCUAUAAAAUUGACUAUGGACGACCUUGAAUUACCUGAGUAAUCUUUCAAAAUUUUAAUUUUACUAUUCAACCUUUCAAUUUAUUUGAUUUGAGUUAAUAAACGAUACCUUGACUUCAAAAUUUAAACUAAUUAUUUAUUUUACUGAAUUUAUAGUUGCAAGAAUUGUAUGAAGUAUAUUAACUAAAUUAAAUAACGUAUUCAAUUUUUGAAGUCCAAAAAUUAUUGAUUGAUUCAAAUCAAACAAAUUGAAUGGUUAGAUAGUAAAAUUAAAAUAAUAAAAGAUUAGGUAGUCUUGGCGCAGGAAAAUUAGCGCCGGCUUGUAGAUGGCUCGGCUCACUUGAUUGGCUCGCAUGAGCGAAUAAAAAGAUGACACGUAGUGCACUGGGAGCCGAGAAAGAAACGCCCGAAGAUGAAUGAAAGAAACGCUCAAAGAUGAAUGAGCUUUAGACGGGAAUGGUUGAGAAUGUGGGGAACAGUGUGUAACCAACGGUAACAUGGCAGGAGCACUCUCCACAACGCGAGCCGUUCAGAAACCAGAGGCUAACUAAGAAGCACUAUAAAUAGUGAAAGAUUGCUUGCAAUAAGAGUCUUUCCUACAUACAAAGCUGAUGCCUUUAUUUAGGGUUGAGUCAAUCCUUCCUCAACCGAACCACUUAAUUGUGACGCGUUCAAGGGUCGUUUAGAGAGCUGAUGCGCAACUUUGAGGGCACUUUUGACUCGGUCAACAGCUUAACUCGAUCAAUAUUUCGGGAGUUUGGCUCAGUAUAAACAUGUAGCCAACUCAAAAUUGUCAAUAAUUGAUGUAAGUUAUGUAUAUUUUUACUUAAAAAUAAAAAUACAAGAUUGUAUCGAUAAGAAGCGUAAAAGAUUUGAAUUUGAGAAUAUGAAAAUUUAUUAUUAUUGUAUAUAUAUAUAUAAAGUUGAACGUAGCGCACCCACUUCGUAUAUAUUUUUCUUCUUUUUUAGAAAUGAAUUUAGUUGGAAAUAUGAAACAACUAUAUUUCGAAUUUGGUAUCUCGACUACCAAACAUCAAACUUUUUAGUACUUGUCCCAGGAAUAGUCAUACUUAAUGCUAAAAUAUUGGUCAUUUGUUUAAAGCUCCGUCUGAUAUUGCAGGGAGAUUACAUUACGUGUGGUGGUUUCUAUACGUAAUAUCGUGUUUCUCGUAUCGCAAUGAAUAUUUUAUGUGGUCCUACCAGAGAAUAUAAAAGCAUAUCACUAUAUGUUUUCGUCCUCCAUUCAUUUUAUCUAUUUAGAUCGGUCUCAAUACCAAACACGCCCUAAGGUAACAAUCACGACAUGCACAGGUAACAAAGUGUAGGCCCAUCGGUCGGCCCAUGGGCCUUUGUUUCCAGAAGAGCUCUAGCCCAGGUGUGUAACCAAACUGGCUCAUUUGCAACUCACAAAGCAUAAUAUUUCUUUCUAAUUUCUUUCUUUUUAGGUGAAAAAUAUAUAAAUUUUUCUUGGAGAAUUUUACUCUUUGAAUAAAUUUAGACCGUGGAGUUUUGGUGGAAUAAAUUAAAGAUAAAUUGAACAAAAUAAAUCAAAACCAUAGAGUGUAAUUUUAAUAUUAAAAACUUAGGAUAAAUCUGGAAUCUCGAUUGUAGGUUGUAAUUUAGAUAUUAAUAAAUUUGUACUGUAAAGUUUUAAUACAAUAAAUUGAUUGAUCUAAGAUAAAAUAAAUUUAGAAUAAAUCUAGAUCGAUGGUAAACUUUCUUGCUUCAAAAUUUCACCAUUUGGUGCAAUAUUGUUGUGUGGAUAGUAUUUUAGUGUAGUUACUUGCGUGUUGCAGCGAAUAGCUAUUAUCGAUUUUUUUUUUUUUUCUGAUCAUCCUUGAUCGGCUUUUUUUUUUUUUUUUUUUUUUUUUUUUACGUUAUAUUCAGUCGACAAUUCAGUUGACUUGCAUAUGUAAGUGGGAAACAUAUAUUUAAGUAUAGAGUGCGGCUAGGAUGCUUAUGGAAGCACGGAGGGCUCCGUGCUUCCACUAUGUUUUCGAUGUUCGGACUUUCGAAUCAACGAUCGGCUCCAUUAGACUUGAUCUAGAGUAUUUGAAGUAUCUAGAAAAUAAAUUUUACGAUUUUUCAAUAUCAUUUGCCUAGUGAUCGAAGUGGCUCAAAAUCAAUGGCUGAAAAUAAAAAUCUUACAAACUAUGAUGAUAUGACAUUAAAAUUUUAGAUCAAAGUUAUUGAUCUUGUUUUAUAUGGUAUAAAAAAUUUUCUAUCAAAAUUUCGUGUGAUUUGGAUAUUUCUACACCGUUAAACUUGCAACCGGCUCACCACGGCCAUUAAAAUUAUUAAUUUUGAGCCCCUUCGAUCACUAGUCAAAUGAUAUCGAAAAAUCACAAAAUUUCUUUUCUAGGUACUUCAAAUACUUUAGAUCAACUCUAACGGAGCCGAUCGUCGAUUCGAAAGUCCGAACAUCGAAAACAACUUGAAAGCACGGAGGGCUCCGUGCUUCCAUAAGCAUACCAGCCCACUCUUUAAGUAUAAUCAAUAGGUUAAAAGUUUGGCAAAGAUAAGAAAACUGAUAUAAAUCAAAGAAUUUUUGAAAUAAAAAUAUACAUAAGUAUUGUUGGAAAUAGUAAUCCAUACUUAAAUCUAAAAUUUAGUUGGAUUUGUCAUCUAUUAUGACUUCAUAGCUAUAUAUAUAGCUAGGCGUGGAUUAAUUACAUGAAUCAGUCAUAACAGAUAUGGCCACAUAGGGUGUAAUUAGAGACUUAUUAGUUUAGUUAUCUUCUUCCUCCUCCAAUAUUUUUUCUCUAUAUUAUGUUGUCCUAUUUUACAUUCUGGAUUAUGUAAUCGGUACUAGUAUAAAUACCGAUUUCAAUAAUUAAUAGCGGAGCAAAUCACGCUUCCGACAAGUACACCAUAUAUGCAGAAAUGUAGGUGAUGCAGGAAAAGAGAUAUGCAAGCAGGCAAAUAUGCAAAGAUGGAUGCCAAGAAAUCGACACACCGUAUAUCAAUAUAUCAAUUCAACUACUAAGAAAAUACCCGCCAGAAAUAAACAAAGUAUAUAUCAAAUAUACACAAAAAGUAUGUACCCUUAAAAGAAAGAACCUGCGGGAGACAUAGAUAUAGAAAAAUUUAUUAUUGAAAUAUAGAAAGAAAAAAUUUUUUAGCAAUAAUAUAAUGCUACUUAUUUAUUAUAUAUUUUUAUUAAAUUUUUUGAAUUUUGUUGAAAAAAUUACUUACUAAUUUCAAGAAUAUAGAGUUUUGAUUUGUGCUAUCGGCAUAGGGACUGUAUCGUGUCGAUAUCUUGUUGGCACAGAAGGUCUUUUAUUUUCUGGACGAAAUGUCUAAUGAAUACUCGCUAAAGUCUACUAAUUAAAAUAUAAGGCUAAUUUCAUAUAUAUUCAUCAAAAUCUUCAAAAUAUGACAAAUACUCCUACAAAUUUUAAAAUACCACAAAUACCCCUCUAAUAUAACUUAUUAUGGCAUGAAUAUCCCUACAGUUGCCGUCCGCCGUUCAACUUGAUGGUAAAACCUGGUAUUUGAGAAUAGUUUAAUAUGUGUUAAGUUGUAGAAUAAUAAUUUUCCUUGUUCUAAAAAAAAAAAAAAAUUCACCGUAGACAACAUGCGUUAAGUUUUAGAAUAACAAUUUUCACCGUAGACACCUCCAAGUUCUUUUUUUAUUUUUCUUUUUGGUACUCGAAUGACUUUUAUCAACCAGAUUCAAAAUUUUAUCAGAUUCAUGAGAAAUUUUGUUGAAUUAAAAUAUUUUAAGCAUGAACAAUUAACAACUAAUAGCUAACAGAGUGAGUAUUAAAAAAUAAAUCAAUUAACUAACUAGAAAAACUUAAAUAGAAAAAUUAAAAGUUAAGUGGAUAUCAAUUAAAAAAAAAAGUUGAUAGAAUAUUUCAUAAUGCCAUUUUUUUUAAUUGCAACGCCUUAACUUUUAAUUUGUAGUUAAAUAAUUUGGUCAAUUAUAUUAAAGAUAUUACUAAAUUUAAGAGUGGCGCAGGAUUAAAUUUAAAAUUUUAUUCAUUAAUCAGCGCAAAGAAUGUAGGAAAAUCAAUAGCUAAUUGUUAUCAGAGCGACUAAAUGUAAUAAAAUAUUUAACUUAACUAGCUAAUAACUAAUUAGAAUUACUCAAUUCAAAAUAAUAAAAAGUUAAAAAUAAUGCUAACUUAAAAAAAUAGAAGUUGAUGAGGCUGUUCCAAAAUAGCUUAUAGCUAGGGGUGUCAAGCGGGUCGGGCACCCCGUGGGUCCAGCCCACAGCCCAAUCCGGCACGGUGGCCUAGCACGACCCGACCCGCAUCCAAGUGGGAGCGGUGCCAGGCCACAGGGCCGGACGUGACCCGGUAAGGCUCAGUCCAUUUAGGACUGGGCCUUGGCAUCAGACCGGCCUUUUUUUAUAUUUUAGGAUAAACUUCAAAUACCGCCCAUGUGGUUUCAUAUUUUCACACUUUAAUAUCUUGUGAUUUAAAGUAUACUAGUGUAAUAACCUACGCAAUGCGGCGGGCAGAUAUUGUUGUAGCAAAAUCUUUUCUUUGUAUAACAUUUUGAAAAUCUUCGAAACCACUUUUACAAAGUACAAACUAUAACUACAUAUUUCAUGCAUGACAGGCAUUGCUUUCCAGCAACAUUCUCUCCAGUUUCCCCAUUCUUACCAUUAAUAAGGAAAUCAGUUUCUACCUAUAGUGAAAAGAAAUGAUUAAAUUAUCAUCACUCUUUCAAGAUCAAAUUAUCAAAAUCGAAUUAAUAAGCAAAAAAGUAGAAUUGCUUAACAUCAAAUAGUAGGAGCUCAAACUUAUUGGUUUCUUCUUUUUCUUUUUCAUCCCAGCACAACUUGGCUCACCAGACUUAGCAACUGCACAAAACAAGCAUGUCAUACUCAAAAUUAAACAAUUCCCAUAAAUCUACUAUAACUACAGAUUAAAAGAGUCGAGACUUGCUGGUUUCUUCUUUCUCUUUUUCAUCCCAGCAAAACUUGGCUCACCAGACUCAGCAACUGCACAAAACAUGCAUGUUAUACUCAAAAUUAAACAAUUCCCAUAAAUCUAUUAUAACUACAGAUUAAAAGAGUCGAGAAAGUAAAGCACUUAAAUGGUUAGCACUCAUUAGAAAAAAGGUUAAACCUGUUAAAUUCUCGGUCUUCUCAGCCAACUUAUCCACCUCAUCUGUAGGGUCCUGAAUCACCACGUUCUUCUUCUUCUUCUUUUUCUUCGUAGGGUCGAAAGGUGCAAGCUGUACAAUCAUCAGCACCAAAUAAAUCAAAUAUGACUACCUAAACCACCAUCAAAAGUAGCAUAAAUAUAAGCCUAAAGAAGCUAACACUCAAAAAAGUUAAAACAUUGAAACUAACCCUAUCUGCAGAAAUUUAGCUUUUUCCCAAAGCACAGACAGAGUAGUACUUUAGCAAAUUACUUUAAGAACUGAACAAAAUAAUCAAAUAGUAAGGAAAAACAGUUCACCUCUGGCAUCUCCUCUUUCAUUUGUGAUGUGUUCUCCUCCGCCAUAUUGAGCACCUACUCAAAUUCUCAAAGUACCUGUAACCUGAUCAUAAGAAACGGAUACCUAAAGAAUCAAAAAUGUGAACUAACCCUAUUUACUUAUUUCUAGUCCCAAAUCUAACCAAAAUAUGAAGAAAACAGGAACAAAACAAAGGAGGAAAAAAAAACCCAAUUACAAUUUCAAAGAUUGAACCAAUCAGACAAUAGGAAAUCAAAAAUUUUAGAGCAUUAUGUUUAUUUAGAGAAGCAAGUGAGGGUGAAAAAUAACAUGUAAAGAAGGUCUGGAUGGUAAAAAUGAAAGCUAAAAAAAAAAAAAAGGAGAUCCAAUAUCAAUACCGUCGCCAACAGCCAGCCAGCGUCUCGAGCGGCCACGGCGAGAUAAGACGAUAACAUUUAUUGCACUGGGGCGAGAAGCGAAGGAGGUGCCGUAUGAAACGGAAAGGGGAGAGGGAUGAGGCGGCGGAGUGGGGAGAGGGAACGACGUAUCGUACGAAAUGAUGAAGGAAGAAGGAGCGUGCGGCGGAGAGGGGAGAGAGACCGCACUGCUGAGAGAGGAGAGGAAACGUUCCAUUUGAAAAAUACGGAGAGAAGAGAGCGGGCCGGUUCAGACGCAUGGUUCGGUUCAGAGAAUCGUACGAAAACCACAUAGAACAGAGAGCGGCGGUUCGGUUUAGCGGCGGUUCGAAAAAGGAUUAGAAGAGGGAGAGGAGAGACAAUUAAGUUCAGAAAAAAAACCUUUUCGGUUCAGAUAGACGGUUCGAUUCAAAAGAAAAAUAAAUAUGGAUGAAAGAUAGGCUGCCACGUGGCAAAGUUAUUGGGGAUUCAUAUAGAGUAAUAGAUUAUUUCAAUACCCUACAGUCCUACUUCAAAUACCGCCCAUGUGGUUUCAUGCUUUCUCACAUUAAUAUCUUGUGAUUAAAGUAUAUUAUUUCAAUACCCUAUGAUUUUAUUUUAUUUUUUUCGUCAACGACUCAGUUAACUUUUUGUUAAAUUAUAUACAAAAAAUUUCAAAUACCGCACCUAUGGUUUACCGAAUUUUUACUUUAGUACCUUGUAGUUUAUCGAAUUUUUACUUUAGCAUCCUGCGGUUUAACUUUGUCACUGAUUUAACAAACAAAUUAAUGAAGGGGAUAAUGAAAAGAGAAAAAUAAAACCACAGGGUAUGAAAGUAAUACAUUUUAAACCACGGAAUACUAAAGUGAGAAAUCGCGAAACCACAUGAAUAGUAUUUGAAGUUUUUCUUGAAUUUUAAUAGAUUUGUAUUUGUUUUAAUUUUUUUAAAAUUAAUUUAAACUAUUCAAGUUUUUUCAGAAAAAUAUUUAAAAAGCCAGGUGAAACUUAUUUAUUUAAUAAAAAAAUAUAUAUAUUUUAUAAAAUCAAUUGAAAAUAUUUUAAAAAAUAAAAUUAAAAUAUAAAAAAAUAUAUAUACACUAAUAUGAGUUGGCCCUUUGCCCUUUUCAGCCCAAAAAAUUUAGACCGUGUUAGUUCGACAUGGCACAUAUUACACCCCAACCUUUUUUGAGGGUUUUCAAUUUCCAUGCAUUUAUAAUAGGGGUAAAUAGACAUUUGACGGUGCUAACAGCUAAUUUGGGGACAAAAAUUUUGUGGGCAUCGUCUCCAAACAAUUUGUUUGGGGACGAUGCCGAUGGGCGCCGCGUGGUGUCGGCGCCCAUCGCGACCCUCGAAAAUAUUGACAACAUUAUUCAUAAAAUAUUUUCAUAUUUUAUGAGAUCUUGACUCAAAUACAUUGCUAGAAUAAUUUCUAGGCUAAAUUACAAAAAAUCUUUCUGUAAAUACCCUCUUUUUAUUUUUUUUUUUCCUGACUUUAAAACCUACAAUUCGCCUUCUUAAAAUUUCAAAAAUAUUUUCAGGAGAUACGACAUUAAUAGAAAGGACAAAAUGACCAAAUUACCUUUGCUUCUUCUAUAAGAAAAAAAUAGUUUUAAAAUAUAGUUUUAUCAUUUUGAAGGGUAUUUUCGAUAUAAAUUAUAAGAAAUGAACGAAAUAAUGAUAAAACACUAAUGAAGGAGGCUAAAUACAAUAACUUAAAAUGUUGAGAGAAUAAAAUAUAAAUUUUUAAAAGUUAGGUAAGGAAAGUGAAAAAAUCCAAUAUUUAUCCGGAGAUUUUGUGUAAUUUAGCCUAAUUUCAAAGUUGGAGUCCAAUCUAAACUUUAAACCGAUUCGGGUUCAAUUUAAUUGCACGUCGGACUCAAUCCAACCGAUUAUGAAUGGCUUAUGAGUAGAUCUAAAGGCAGGGUCAACACUAUUUGGUUUACACUGAAUUAUAGAACUUUUUGUGUCAUUUUGAUCCGUUCGGUUCAGUUUGUUUUUACAAAAUAAAAACGGACAAACCAAAUUAACAUAAGUAAUUAAUUUUUUUAAUAAUUUUAAAAAUUAAUUUAAAAUUAUAGUUUAUAAUGUUUAAUGACUUUUUAUCUUCAAAUUAAAGGUUUCAGACAAAAUUAAUUAUGUUUAUAUACUUCUUUUCUCGUAGUUAAUUUGUUUUAAUUCAAAAAAAAAAUAAAAUUAUCAAAUUUUCAGCCCAAAUAAAACGCGACUAUAACUCCAUAAGUCCACCGGUUCGGUUUUGCAAAAAGUCCUAAAAAGCCCGCCGCGCCUAACUGAACCGCUCCGAACCGAACCGAAGUAUCUUCGCCCCGAUCUAAAAAGUCGAAAGGGUCCCCUUCUAGGGUUUGUGUUCCAAGCUCUUCACCCCAAGAGGAGAGAGAGAGAGAGAGAGAGAGAGAGAGAGGGGAAGAGGAUACCUAUCGCUUCAACAAUGGCGGACGACGAUUACAACGACAUGGACAUGGGGUUCGAGCUCUUUUUUCGUCCCUUUCCUUCCUCUUUACUCUGUUCCUUACUUCGUCCUGAUCGGGUUGAGUAGAAAAUUUUAACUAUUCCAUGUCAAGUUCCGAUCUUUGAAUGGAUUACGCCAUGGUUAAGUAGUGAUUGAUCGAGUCAUGCAUACUACAUGUGGGUGAUUAACUUCGAGAUGCUCCAAUAUGGUAUUCACCAUGGAUUUAUUUGGUGAGGUUUUGUUUAAUCGCACUAAACAACCAAGUUGAUGCACUUUUUUUAGGGUGCUAUCUACAGCUUUGUAUCGUUUGGUUUAAAGAAGCUCUAAGAAGGUUGAGGGGGGGUGUGAAGAGUGUUGUAGGAUUUCAUAGGAAGGGUUGCAUGCUAAGCUCUAACAAUGCAUGCUAAGUUUGAUUUCAAUGACAAGGUUACUUUAAUGGUUCUUUAGAAAAAACUUUUUAGUCUUGUGGCGUUUUAGGUUUGCUUAGAGUCCCAGAUUGAGUCCUAACCAGCACAACCAUUUAGGGUCAUUUAUUAAGGGUAAAAUCAGAUAGGCAUUACUUGAACUUUGGCGCAUUUUGAAAUGAAGACCUCAACUUUAAAGAUUUGAUUUUUGUAUUCAAUUUUCAUAUAUAUAUAUAUAUAUAUAUAGAGAGAGAGAGAGAGAGAGAGAGAGAGAGAGAGAGAGAGAGCUAGGCUGGUAUGCUAUCGGUAGCACGAAGGCCUCCGUGCUACCAAGUUGUUUUCAAUGAUGCGGCUUUCAAAUCAAUGAUCGGCUCCGUUAGAUUUGAUCUACACUAUUAAAAGUAUUUGGAAACUAAAUUUCAUAAUUUUUCUAUAUCAUUUGGCUGGUGAUCAAAAGGUCUCAAAAUUGACAAUUUUAAUGGUAGAUGUGAUGCGUUUGUGAAUUUAACGGUGUAAAACAAUCCAAAUCUGAUGAAAUUUUUAUAGAAAAUUCUUUUCACUAUUUAGAGUAAAAUCAGUACCUCCGAUCUUAAAUUCAAGUUUUUUAUCAUUAUUUUUUAUGAGAUUUUUAUUUUCAGCUGUUUAUUUUUAGACUACUUGUUUGAUAGGUCAAUGAUACUGAAAAAUUAUAAAAUUUAAUUUCUAAAUACUUUAAAUAAUGUAGAUCAAGUCUAACGGAGCCGAUCGUCGAUUUGGAAGCCGCAUCAUUGAAAACAACUUGGUAGCACGGAGGGUACCGAUAGUAGUAUACCAGCCCCCCUCUCUCUCUCUCUCCUCUCUCUCUCUCUCUCUCUCUCUCUCUCUCUAUAUAUAUAUAUAUAUAUAUAUAUAUUAUUUCUGUACUCCUCUAUGUGCUGUCGAAAUUAGUGGCUUCUCUGAAAAAGUUACAGAUUAUCCCACCAUAGAAUUUUUCCUUAAGCUGUAUGAUGAUUCAUGAAAAGUUAUAAACAACAUUCAGUCCUAAACGAGGGGCAGUGAAAUCAUAAAUUAGUGAAUAAUUACAUUGUAAGUUCAUGUGCCUAUUUAAAGUGCCUAAUAGUUCAUCUGAAUGUUUCUUACUGUGCAGAAAAUCUUCCCAGGUCUUGAGUUAUUUAUGACUUUACUUUUUGCGGUCACUAUGUACUGAUUUAGUGCAUUUGAUGUAACAUAUUGCAUUUAUAUGGUAAAACUUGGGUGAGUUGCAUGAUCUGUGAAGUGCCUUAAUAGCCAUUCAAUACGAGUUGGGGCUUUUGGCCUGGAUGGAGCUUACGCAUAUCUGUUAUAUUAGUAAAGCUAUUUGAAUAGCUGAUAGUUUAUGAUGUUUAUAGAGAGUAAAUGGUGCGUUAUGGGGAGUGAGUAUCACAUAAAAUUUAUUUUGACUCACAAGUUUCUGUGAUAGUCUUCUUGGAAAAAAGUUCUACUUAGUUCUCUGUUAAGAGUAGUUCAGUAUAUGGCCGUGAGUCAAUAUCAACUUGUGCUACAUGUAAACUUACUCUAUCUCAUUUUGUCAAUUUUUGUAGUAGGCUGUAGCAUAAUUUAAGUGUUUUCAACAUUUUGUUAUAAACAUGAGUGCAAUGUUAUUACUUACACUUGAUUUAUUUAUUGUUUCUUUUCUAGUUACACAGGUUGUGUCCAUGUCCAACUCACGUCGGACUCGGGAUGCACUUNGGGGGGGGGGGGGGGGUGUGUCCUCUCCACUUUAGGAAGAUUUCCCAAGAGUCUUAAUAAUAGGAAAUAGGUUUGCUUCCACCCUGUGUAUCUUUAUCUAUAAUACACCACAACCAAUUAAAUUACAUAUAUGAUCUAUAAUAUUGAAGAUACACGCACACAAAUUAGACAUGCAAUAUGCACGUCACACAAAUUAAAGAGCAAAAAUUUUAUCGAGUCAAACAAAAAAUUUAUUUGACAUCCAAUAAAACCUUAAACCACAAAUUUAAUCCUAAAACAUGAUCUCAAACCUUAACCUAGCCAUAGAAUCGUCGUGUUGAUAGCAUCAUCGAGGGUGACAACAUUAUCGUCCUUAAAUGCCGGAUCGAACCUUAUGCCAAGACCUCGAUCUUGUCCCUGCUGAUUAAGAUCUCCCGCCUCUGUCGGCAUCAGCGGCGGAGACCCUUCAAGAGCCCUUCGAUCUAUGAAUAAGGAGGACCUUCUCUGCAACAUCUAUGGCUACAUUGCCGUAGAUGCCCCCAGCGGCACAAGGGCGACGACGGCGUCAGCAGCGGUAGCGGUAGAGGAAGGGGCCUCGAAAGGUGAGAGUGGGGUGACGGCCAAGGAGGAAUGUUAGGGUUUUGUUGGGGAGAGGAAGAUGGAGAGGGACAGAGAUGGAAAGAGCUUCUGGGAAGGAAAAGGAGGUCUGGGGUUUUGACGUGGAAAAUAGAGCGGGAUUCUGCACAUAAUCUUUGUGGGAAAGAGAGAGGAUUCAUUAGAAAGAGAGGAUUUUUGACGUGUGAUUUCAGAAAUUGAACCGAUUAGGAAGAAUUAAAUAAAAAGUGACUGAUAUUUUAUUUGUUAUCCGUCCGAUGAGAUCCAACAGUUCACAAUAAGCAUAUGAUAGAUAAUAUAAUUAAAGAAAAUGUAAAAAAUCAAAUGGUUGCCGUAUAUAUAACAUGGAUUGAACGGAUGAUGUCAUAAGAACAUAUUUGACAUUAUAUUUGAACUAAGAGGUAUUUUUGAGGGGAAAAAAGAGAAUAACUCCCUCUUUUUAAAGGAGUAUAUGCAUUUCGAGAGAGAGAGAGAGAGAGAGAGAGUACGACUUGUGUGCUAUUUGGAACAUGGAGGUUUCCGUGCUUUUAAGCCAUUUUCGAUCAUUAAACUUCUGAAUAGAUGAUCAGCUUCUUUAGACUUGAUCUAACGUAUUUGAAAUAUAUAGAAAAUAAAUUUUGCGGUUUUCGAUAUCAUUUACCUAAUGAUCAAAAGGGUUUAAAAUCAACAAAUUUUAAUGGUUGAUGUAUGCCGUUUGUAAGUUUAAUGGUGUAAAAGUAUUCAAAUCGGAUGAAAUUUUGAUAGAAAUUUUUUUAUAUUAUUUACAACAAGAUUAAUAUUUCUGAUUGAAAAUUUUAGUACAUAUCAUAACCUUUUGUAAGAUUUUUAUUUUUCAACCGUUGAUUUUGAGUCCCUUUGAUCACUAGAUAAAUGAUAUCGAAAAACCCAUACAAUUUAUUUUCUAGAUAUUUCAAAUAUGCUAAAUAAAGUUUAAUGGAGUCGAUCGUCGAUUCGAAAGUUUCAUUAUCGAAAACGGCUUAGGAGGGGUUAAGGUAAUAUAUUUUGAUUCAUGCACCAACUUUGGAGGGCGAGUAGUUAUAACUUAUUUACUAAUUUAAAAAUAUUAUAAUAUUGUGUAUAAUAUAUAUAGAAUAUCAUAUUUAAAGAAUAAUAUUUUAUUUUUGACCUUGCCAUGUCCAUAUCCUAAUUUUUUUUGAAGUUGUCAAAUUGCUAUGUCCAAGUCAUGUCGUGUCCUGUGUUUGUGUCUGUAUAACAUAACCUCUUUUUGAAUUUCAAGAGGUCUCACAAAAUUCCUUUUAUUGUUAAAAUUUCUAUACAGGUAUGAAGAUGAGCCACCAGAACCUGAAAUAGAGGUAUGAAAUAGUAUUCUUUUAAAUCAAUUAGUGUGUAUCUUUUUCUUUUAAAUAGAGAAUGAAAGAAACAUCUCAUUUGUGUAGGAAGGAGCCGAGGAAGAGCCAGAAAAUAAUGAGGAUUUACCUGAUGAUGUUGUAGGUGCAGAAACAGAAGAGAAAGAGCAGGAACCGGCCGAAAGGCCUCGUAAAACAUCAAAAUAUAUGACAAAAUAUGAACGUGCUAGAAUCCUUGGGACACGUGCUCUGCAGAUUAGGUAUGUAUUCUCAACCAUCCAAGCUAUUGAGAGAGUCCCUGCUAAUUAAUUUUCUAUGAAUUUACUAUAUGUUAUUGUUUUGGACAGCAUGAAUGCACCAGUGAUGGUUGAACUGGAGGGUGAAACAGAUCCUUUGGAGGUUUGAUCCUUUCUUUUUGUGUUUUCCCCACAUCCUGUUUGUUAAAAUGAAUGUUAGCUCUAUGAUUGUUUCUUUUUUUUUAUUUUAUGUUUUUUCCUUCGUGAGGUGUCACAAGAAGACACAUAUUAUUGUUAAUAUGAAACGGCGAUCAGUGUUACCAUGCUCUGUCGGCAUGGUUUCAUUUGUCUCUGUUCGACCAUCUAACAUGGUCAGUGAGAAGAAAUUUUCUUAGGCUUAUCAUACAAUCCUGAGUAGUUCAGGGGAUAAGUGCAAUAUGGUUACUGUUUACUCAAAUGUGUGUACAGCUCUUUGAAUGUUUAAGUUGGAAUUGAAAACACCGUAAGUAAAAGCAACUAAAGAAUCCCCAUAUUACCCCUUCGUGCACAUGGAUGUCUAUGUAAUACAUAGUCAAUUUAAAAAUUUAAACAUCUUUGGAAACUAAAUUCUUUAGAACAAGCAUUAUAUUGUUUUUCUUUCUUUUUUCUUUUUUUAACAAAGUAUUAUAUUGCUAUCUCAUUAUGUUAGCAGAAAAUAAAUGGUGAACCUAGUGGGACACGGUUAUGAAAAUAUUGCUAUCUCAUUAUGUUAGCAGAAAAUAAAUGGUGAACCUAGUGGGACACGGUUAUGAUAAUAAAAUCUGGCCUACGGUCAUGAUAAUAAAAUCUGGUACUUGAAGAGGGAGAGUCCAGAUUCAGUGGCUCUAAUGAGUGUCAUUAUUGAUAUGUUUUCUUGGUUUAUUUUCUUUUAUCAACAAUUAUUCGAGCUGUUGUCAUUUCAUCUGACAUUUACAUUACUUUUAAUAAUCUUAGAUUGCAAUGAAGGAACUUCGAGAGCGCAAGAUACCCUUCACAAUCAGGCGCUAUUUGCCAGAUGGAAGGUAGUUAGAUUUGUUCUACUUGGCUUAUCAUCAUAUCUUGAUAUGCAGCAGAUAUGUUACAGUGUGUGUGUGCGCUUAUCACAUUUUGUAACAGUUACGAAGACUGGGGAGUUGAUGAGCUUAUCGUGGAGGACUCGUGGAAGAGGCAAGUUGGCGGGGACUGAGCCGUCGUUUUCCAUGAAUAAUUCGAGAAAUGUCCUAUGUAGUUGGUACCGUCUAUUUGUCUAUACCAAACAUGUUAGUGGCCCAUAGACGCAGAAUCGAUAGGCGCCUCAAACUUACGCAGCUGAUUCUGUCUAUUUUGCUAUCGUUUCAUGUAAGAAGCAUCUCGAACUAAUUAUGGUUCAGUAGGAUGGUUGAACUUGGCUUCUGCUUCUGUAUAACGGCUGGUGGAAAACAAAACAAAACAAAACAAAACAAAACAAAUCUCUAUCCGUUUGGUUCGGGUAUAAGCAAGAACUAGCUAUUACAGUGAUAGGUACAAGUAUGAGGAUAAGAAAAAUAGCGUUUGGAUAAAAAUGGGGUUAUUUUCGGGGAUAAGAAAAAUAGCGUUUGCAUAGAUAAUAUGGAAUAGGAAAAAUAUUGGGUAGUUUUAUAUAGAAAAUGGAGGUGUUGUUGGGGGUAGUUAUAUCCGGUUAUUAUAAAUAACUGAGAAUUACUAUUUUUGGAUAAAAAAUUAGUGUUUGGGUAUAAGGGAGGAUAAUGGUCUAUCCUUAUCCCUAUCUCCUAACCAAACACUGCCUUUAGCACUCAUGUGUUUCCUUUGUUUCGGUGACUUUUAUUGUUUGUGCAUCCAAUUUUAGGAAAGGUCCUGUGCUGUUGUACUGUUAUGAAAAUUUUUGGUUACUGUGCUCUCUUGUUGAGUGUGGGGCUAAAAUGAAUUAUAAUAUCUGCAGAGGGAGCCUUGAAAUCUCUUUUUCUGCAAGGUGGAAAAAAAAAAAAAUGUUAAAGUAUUUUGGGGCUUCUCACUAAUGUUUACAAAAUGGUGCUAAUUGGAGAAAUAAAUAGUUGCUGCUCUGUGGAAAUUAAUUUUAACAACAAAUAAUUAGUACUUCUUGAAAUUAAGUGGUUUUAGUUAAAAAUUUUACGGAUUUUAUCAAGUUCAUGGUGGAUUUUACUAUAUUGAAUAUUAACUUCAAUUGCUUUUUAGUAAAUGAAACUAGGUUAAUUAAUGGUUAAUAACUAAAAGAGUUGUUAAAUUUAAACUUAAUUCUAAGUAUAAAAACUGAAAUACAAAAUUAGAAGUCAAGGGAUCUCCAUACAAUUUUACCAAAAAAAUAAAAAAAUACUUCCACAUCUUUUUUGAACCUUUUAAGAGAAAAUUAAAGUGAUUGACUAUUAUAAUUUUAAAUAAGGUCUAAUAAAGCUUUUUUUUAUAUUAAUAUGCAGAUAUAGGAUUUUUUUUUAUAUAUUUUCGAUAGAACAGAAAAAUAUACAUCUUUUUAAUAUAAAGAAUAUACAUCCUUCUAACAUUAAUAAAGUUGUCUGUAAGCCGGAUCGGGUCUGGAUACUUGAUAAACUAUAUCUGUAUCCUAUUAUAUCCGUAUCCUAAACAGAAAUGGAUAGGAAUAUAUAUAUAUAUAUAUAUAUAUAGAGAGAGAGAGAGAGAGAGAGAGAGAGAGAGAGAGAGAGUUAGUCUAGAAUACUUGUAAAAGUAUCACCCAAGUGUACUUGUGUGUUUUUAGUCAUUGAUGGAGAGAUGUGAGGUUGAGAGAUGGUGUUAGGUGGAAUAGUGUUUGAUCCAAGGAAUUAGUAAUAAAAAAGUAGAUCAUGAAGAGAUGAGGUUGAGAUGAUGGUGGUAGGUGGAAUUAGUGUUUGAUCAUAAGGACUAUUAUAAUCAAAAUAGAUCCAAUAGACUAAAACACACAAUAUCACUUGUGAUACUUGUAAAAGUAUUCUAGCCCUACUCAUAUAUAAUAUAUAUAUAUAUAUAUAUAUUUAUAUAUAUAUAUAUAUAAUAUAUAUAUAUAUAUAUAUAUAAUAUAUAUAUAUGCUGGAAUACUAUUAAUAAUACGAGUGACUUAGUGCUAUUAAGUUUUCUACUCUUGAAUUAAAAGAUGUGCGUUAGGAUGAUAUAGCCCCCUAAAGUUGAGUGAUAGUUGGUUGAAUAAUAUAAUCGAAUGGAUGAAAAUACUUCCACAUAUUUUUACCGAAAUUCGAAGUCGAGGAUCUCUAUACAAUUUUACCAAAAAAAAAAAAAAAAAAACUUCCACAUCUUUUUUGAACGUUUAAGAAUAUAGAAAUUAAGAAAAUUAGUUAUUGACUAUUAUAAUUAAAUAAGGUCUAAAGCUUUUUUUAGGCCUUUUUGCAUAAAAAUCACUUUUUGGGCUUUGCAAAAUCGGGCCACUUUUUCAUUUUUGCAGAUUCGCCCGCCUUUUCAGCAAACUGACAAAAAUGCCCUUAUACAUUUUUCCUCUCUUCUUUUUUUUUUUCUCUCGUCCUUUUUUCUUUCUUUUUCCACAGAGACGUCGUCGUCCUCGGCCGUGCUCGCCGUGCUCGCCGCCUCGUCGCGAGGCUCCAUGGACACCGCCGCGCGUGCUUGGAGCGGAGUGACCCGGAGUGGCGCCCAACCGACGCCGUCGACACGUCCGGCGAGGGCCGGUGGAGCGCGCAGCGGCGCACGCGGGGGAGGGCGGGGGCGAGGCGGAGGCCCGGGGCGGGCUGGCCACGCACGCAGAUCCGCGGGCUUGAAGACCCGCGCGUGGAGCUCACCCUGUCCUCGUCUCCACGUCGAUGACGCCAUGGCGCGGAGCUCGAGGACUAAGGAAGCUCCACGGACGCGCCCGGGGCGGGCACAGCUGCGCAAUAUGUCCUUGGCUGGAGGAGGGGCGGCGACGAGGGCGGAGGCAGAGAGAGAAGCAGAGAGAGAAGCAGCAGAGGAAGAAGAAGCAGCAGAGGAGUUAAAAGAAAAAAAAAGAGAGAGAGAGGCAGAGAGAGAAGCAGCAGAGGAAGAAGAAGGAGAAGAAGUGUUAAAAAAAGGGGUGGAAAAUGGUGUAAUGGUGCAAAAUGGAAUAAUAGUGUAAUGGUGCAAAAUUGUAAUGGUGUAAUGGUGUAAUGGUGCAAAAUAGUGUAAUGGUGUAAUGGUGUAAUAGUGCAAAUGGUGUAAUGGUGUAAUGGUGCAAUAUUAUAAUGGUGUAAUGGUGUAAUGGUGUUAAAGAGUGUAAUGGUGUAAUGGUCCAGAUUGCACCAUUUAAAAAAAUUUUACACUAUUUUUUUUUUCCCUCUUUCUCUUCUUUUUCUUCUUCUUCCUCUAGAUUGCACCAUUAGCUUUUUUUUUUUCCUCUUUUUCUUCUUCUUCUUCUUUCUCUUCUUCGACGGAGGCGUCGGAUCGGCGGUGGGGGACGUAGGGGGAGACGGAUCGGGAGGCCACGAGGCGCAGCGGAGACGAUGGGCGAUGGGGCUUCAAGGUGCGGCGGCUCGGGGCCGGGGGGGCCUCGUUGUCGUCGUCGUCACCGGGCAACUAGUAGGAACGCGUAGGAACGCGCGGCGCCGGCGCCUAGUAGGAACGCGCGGCGCCAGCGCCGGCGCGGCGGUGGUCGGGCUCGGGGUCGGUGCGGGGGAGGUCGACGAGGAAGUAGAGCUUCCCCGGCUUGAGCGGGGCGUCGGGGUCGAGCGGCCGGGCUCGGAGUCCAACGCUCUUGACCUCCUCAGACUCGAGCACGGCAAAUCCCUGGUGGUCUCGGAGGUCGACGUCGGCGCCGAACUCCAGCAGCAGCUGGACGAGGUCCGGCCGGCCCUGCGCGAUGGCCGAGUGCAGCAGGCCGACGCCGGACGCGUCGACGGCGUCGGCCGGGCGCCACUCCGGAUCGCUCCGCUCCAGCACGGCGCGGGCGGCGUCCAUGGAAAAGAAAGAAAAAAGAACGAGAAAAAAAAAGAGGAGAGAGAAAGAGGAAAGAGAAAAAUGUAUAAGGGUAUUUUGGUCAGUUUGCUGAAAAAGCGGACCGAAUCUGCAAAAACGAAAAAGGUGGCCCGAUUUUGCAAAAGCCCAAAAUAAGUGAAUUUUUUAUGCAAAAAGGCCCUUUUUUUAUAUUGAUAUGCAGAUAUAGGAUAUUUUUUUAUAUUUUCGAUAGAACAGAAAAAUAUACAUCAUUCUAAUAUAAAAAAUAGGAAAAACUUCAAAUAUCCCCUUGUGGUUUCACUUUUUCUCACUUUAAUACCAUAUGGUUUAAAGUGUAUCAAGUUAGUACCCUGUGGUUUUGCACUUUUUUACUUUAGUACCCUAUGGUUUAAAGGGUAUCAAGUUAAUACCAUGUGGUUUCGCACUUUAUCAUUUUAGUACCUUGUGGUUUCGCACUUUAUCACUUUAGUACCCUGCGGUUUAAAAACCACAUGGUACUAACUUGAUUCAAAAAUAAAACCACAGAGUAAUAACUUGAUACACUUUAAACCACAGGGUACUAAAGUGAGAAAGUGAGAAACCAUAGGGUACUAACUUAGUACACUUUAAACCACAUGGUACUAAAAUGAAAAAGUGCGAAACCACAGGGGGGUUUUGAAGUUUUUCCUAAAAAAUAUACAUCCUUCUAACAUUAAUAAAGUUGCCCGUAAGCCGGAUCGGGUCUGGAUAGCCGAUAAACUAUAUCCGUAUCCUAAACAGAAAUGGGUAGGGCAAAAAAAAAAAAAAANAAAAAAAAAAUAUAUAUAUAUAUAUAUAUAUAGUUGAGCUGGAAUGCUAUCGUAGCAAACGGGCUCCGUUGCCAGCCAUUUGUUUUUGAUGAUGGAGCCUUCGAAUUGACGAUCGACACCAUUGAAUAUGAUCUAUACCACUUAAAGUAUUUAUAAACCAAAUUUCAAAUCUUUUCGAUAUCAUUGACCUAAUGAUCAAAAAAUUUCAAAAUUUAUAAUUUUAGUGGUAGAUAUGAGGUGUUUUCGCGUUUAACGGUGUAAAGUUAUCCAAAUCAAUUGAAUUUUGGUUAGAAAAUUCUUUAAACUAUUUAGAACAAGAUCUAUACUCUUGAUCAUGAUUAUAAAAUUUCUAUCAGCACUUUUUAGAGGAUAUUAAUUUUCAGCCGUUCAUUUUUACGCCCACUUGAUGGAUAAGAGAACAAUAUCGGAAAAACAUGAAAUUUGAUUUCUAGAUACUUCAUGUGGUAUAGAUUAUGUUCAACGGUGCCGAUCGUCGAUUUGGAGGCUCCAUCAUCGAAAACAAAUGGGUGGCAACGGAGCCCGUUUGCUACCGAUAGUAUUCCAGCUCAAUUAUAAAUAUAUAUAUAUAUAUAUAUAUAAAAGCACGUAUAUUCAAAUUUGGGUCUGUCGACAGACCCAUUUUUCGGCGGAAAAAUUAGCGCCCAUUUUUCUCUUUCCGUACGAAAAAUUUUAAAUAUAAGAAUAAAAAUAGAAAUAGAAACAGCAAUGAAUACAUAAGUUCUCUAUAACAGAUUAUUGAUGAGAAAAUUCUAAAAUAUAAAUCUUUUUAUUUAAUUUCAAAAGUAAGUUUUCUAUAACAGAUUACGGGUGUGAAAAUCCUAUAAAAGAUAUUUUCCUAUUUUAUUUUAAAAUAUUUUUUUUAGAUAUUAUCUUUUUAAUUUCAAAAUAUAUAUUUUUUUUAAGAUAACGAAUUUUAUUUUUCUAUUUAAUUUCAAAAAUUUAUUUCCUAACAGAUUUUAUUUUUCGAUUUUAAUUUCAAAAUUAAUUUUUGCAUUAGAGAUUAUUGUUAAUUAUUUAUCAUUUAAAGCAUAUCUUUCUUAAUAGCGUGAUUUAUUAUUUUAAAUUUUUUAGAUACAUAUUUGGCAAUCAUAUAAAAUAUGGCCUAAAAUUAAAAAAUAAUUUAAAAUUAUUAUAACUUUUUCUAAUAAUUAUUAUGUGUAUUUGCACGUACAUUUUACUAGUAUAUAUAUAUAUAUAUAUCUUAUCCAUUUUAAGCGGGUCUGGAUAGUGAAUUAGUGACUACCCGUAUACUACCUGUUUAAGACCGGAUAUGGAUCGGAUACGUGUCAGGAGUAUGAAUAUCUAUAUGCAUAUAUUUUUAUAGAUUUUAUUAAACAGUUUAUAGACAAACUAUAAACCUCUCACUAUAAAAAAGUAGCGUUCUAAUUAAUUGCACCCAGUACAAUAAAAUUCGUUUAAAAAAAAGAUUCAAACAAUAAACAGCUAGGGUUGAAAAAAAGGAGUAACAAAAAAAAAAAUUAAAAAAAGUAGUAAAUAGAAUGACUAAGGUUUUCACAAAAAUGAAAAUAUGCAGUGACUUUUCAUCUAUAAAAUUGAUCCUUCAACUUCAAAAUUUUUUUAAUUCAUUAUCCGGUAUUCACCGGAUUCGGAUUUGGAAAGUCUUCAGGAUUCUACCCACUAAAAGGUCGAUUUCGGAUUGAGUCCAAGUCGGAUAUGUAUAUAAAGUAUUCAAAUUCAUGCCGAAAUUUUGAUGAAUAAGUUUUUUUUACUUGUACACUCUUUUUUUUAUCAGUCCGGGUAGGGAUCAAAUCAAAAUAUGAAAUAUUAGAUAUUUUGAAUAGUUUUAAAUAUUAAUAUACAGAUAUAAGAAUAUAUUUUAUCGAUUUAUUAUGGUACGGAGAAGAUGAUAUUAAAUACAAAAAUAAAAUAAAAUUUUGUUUGAUAUUUUCCAUGUAACAAAAUAUCUCGGUAAUAUCAAAUACAGCCUUUUAAUACAUUGUAGUAAUUAUAGUGGACAAGAAAAGGUGGGGAGCAAGUCACGUCAUUAUUUGUCCUCUCCUAAUAAAGGAGACUAUGAUAUGUACUAAGCAUUUUAUUAUUGUUGUUAUUUUUUAUUAGUUUUUAUAGGUUAGGAAUCUUACCCUUAUCCUUUCUUUUAAGGAUUAAAAUAUUUAUCGAACCGUAACCAUCGAAUUAUAUCAUGUCAAUAAAAUAUCGAUAUGAUACAGUUUUCGUACCGAUGGCAUAAUUCAAAACUCUUUAUUCUUAAAAUUAGUAAAUAUUUUUUUAAUAAAAUUUAAAAAAUUUGAUAAAAAUACAUAAUAAAUAAUUGACAUAAUUUUUUGUUAAGAAAAUAAAUAUUUUUUGUCAAUACGUAUAUAUAUAUAUAUUUUAUAACCGGCACGUAUUUGAUACGGCUCGAUAUGCACUGUGUCAUACCGUGUUGAAAAAUUUUUGGCAUGGCAUAGCCCAUGCCACGGCAUUUAAAUCUCUGCUCACUGCAACUAAAAUACGCGUGAAAUGCCCAAGUUCUUAGGUGACUUGAUUUUCAGGGUGUUAGCGUCAACAAUUGUACUUUUUCGUUAGGAAUUGGAAUCCUUCAGUUGGAGGAUUCAAAGUUGUCAAAUUAUUUAAAGCAACUAUUAUUUUUUAAAAAUUUAAGCUAACAAAAAAAUAAUAUUUUUAAUUCUUAUAUUUAAUAUUUUUUUACGUCCAAACUUUAAAAUAUUUUGAUAGAUUCGAAACAAAAACUUAAAUUCAAAAGAAAAAUAGGAUCUCGUGCCAUGUUAAAUUAUAUUAAAUAAUUUUUAUUUUUCAAAAGGUUAAGCUAUCUCUCAGGCGUUCGAGAUUGUUUGACGGUCUCGAUGUAGGGUUCUUGUUCUGAUAUUAUGUUAAAUUUUAAAAAAUGACUGUUGUUUUUCGAAAAGUUAAGUUAUCAAAGAAUAAUUAUUUUAAUAUUUAUCUUCCACAAAAGUCCCUCGGAGUGUUCGGUUACGGAGAAAAAAAAAUUCAGUACAUAAUUUUUUGGUUGAAAAAUAUUUUCUCUCUAUUUAGUUUUCAAAAAAAAUAAUUUUUUUAUAAAAAUUGGGUUAAUGUGUAAUAAAAUUUACCUGAACUAAAGACCAUUUCGUUUCAACUAUUCAACCUUUUAAAAAUUUGAUUUUAAUAUCCAAUCUUUUAAUUAAUUUGAUUUAAACAAUUUAAACGAUACAAAAAUAUUGUCGGAUCAUGGAUUGUUUGUUCAAACACACAGGUUCAACAUCAGACUUGAAAGACGGCAACAUACGUCAUACAUAUUUAAUUAUUAUAUUUUAUAGCGUACAUAAUAAAAAUAUUUUAGAUAUAGUGUUCUAUAUUAUUUUUAAAUGUUAUUAUAUUAUAUAUAAUUAAAAAUAUAUCCACAGUGCAUAUUGUUAAAGAACUGAGGAUUAUUUUAAUUAAUUAUUGAAAUUUAAACAAAAUUGUCCCGUUCUUAUUCUUAUAAAAUCAAGCUGCUUCACCGGUUCACUAAACAAUCUGAACAAGUCAAAGUAGGUUUUAAGUCAGUCCGAUUUUAUGGGUUAAGCUGAAUCAGGUUCGGCACUAGGUUAUGAUUUGACCAAUCCGACCAGCUAAAUUCGAUCCUAAUUUUAAAAUAUUGCUAUAAUACACUGACAUCUUGAUGCUCGAACUAUAUUUUAUAAUUUUUAGCUCAAAUUUUCUUAACUGUUGCAAUCAAGUCCCACACUUCCGUUAGCGAAUUGUAUGCUGAUAUGUUGUUGAUGUGACAAUAAUAUCAUAUUAUUAUCAUACUAACAAUAUUAUAUUAGUACUAUCAUUUAGUCAGCUAAAUUACAAUGUAAAAAUUAAUUCAAAAAGUUGAAGCAAAAAAUUUGGGGGACAAAAAAAAAUAUAACAUAAUGUGGAUUGUAAUAUUUGGAGAAAAAUAAGUUCAAAAGGGAGCAAGUCCAAAACAAGCAACUUAUUAAUGCAUUAACAAAUCCAUACGCUGUCACGUACACGGCCGUUGAAAUAAUUAUAAAAUGCCCCUUGAAAAUAUCCUUUCUUAAAAAAAAAAAAAAAAAUGAAAACCAUGGGACUAGGUUGACUUUGGACGUGAAAAGUGUAGCUUGUUUUGUUGUUAGGUUUCUAAUUUUUUAAUUUUAUGUCAGUUAGGUUUCACUAUUCAAAUUUUUAUUAAUUUUGACGAAAUAGUUUACAUCAGCUUCAACGAAGCUUUACCCACUUAUAUAGAUUACUAUUAUAGUCCAAUAGUCUUUUGUCAAUCUCAGUAUCGAUUUUUCUAAGUUUUUAGAAGAGUUUGAUGGCUCACUUGGCUUGACAUUAAGAAUACUGCAUGCUCCAAAAGAAGCAAUACGUGCCGCGUGCAAGAUUGAGGAGGCCGUAAAUAUUGAGAGUGGCGAGAUUGAGCUUGACGAUGGGUGCACACAUGGCAGAUGAGGUAGGAACCAAAUUGGAUACAUAGAUAAGACAAUCGUUAUUUUUCAAUAGUCUAAACUAUCAGAGAAUAAUAUUUAUAUUUCUGGUCUGAUAUCAUGUUAAAUUAUAUAAAAUAACUGUUAUUUUUUAAAAGUUUUAAGCUAUUAGAGAUUUUUUUCAAUCUCCCUGAUUCUUUUAUUUUUUAUAGAAUUCAGUGUGUGAGCUUGCAAUAUCUUCAAGAAAUAGAAGAAAAUGAUAAAGAUAACUGAGUCAUGAACAACAACAACUCAAUUGAAAUAAAUUAUAAGGGUUGAAAGCUCAGUUAACAAAAAAAAAAAAAAAGUUAAAGAACUAAUUGAGAAAACAAGAAAAGAUUGGGACCAAUGGUGUGAUUAAUCCAAAUGUAAAAUUGGGUAAAGAUUAGGGACCCGUGAGGCAAUUAAUUCUUUCCAAACUUAUGCAAGUGAUAAAUGGUAAUCAUGGAGAUAAUGCAUUUCCAAAACAACCAUUGUUAUAAGUUAACUCACCUAAUAUAUGACUCUUUACAUCACACAUACGCAUACUUUCUGCUUAAAAAAAAAAUUUGAUCCCGAGCCAUAUUGAUUGCAGAAGUCGUUUGUAUCAGGAGAAGCAAUUAGUAGAAAUUUAUAUUCGAACAUUCUAGUUUUGUGAUACUCGAAAAUAGUAUGUUCCUCGUUUCGUUCAUUAUUUUAGAAAUGAGUUUAUCUAGAAAUGUGAAGCAACUAAGUCUCAAUCUAGAAUAUCAGUUAUCAAAUCUUUUGCCACUUAUAUUAAAAAUGAUUGCGUCUACAUUUUUUUAAAAAAAUUAAUAUUUAUAUUUGACUGUUGUAUCUAGGGGUUAAAAAAUUAUUUUAGAAAUCAGGCCAAAUAAGUUGGCUUUCGAUUAAUGGUAAAAACUAUUGUUUAUGAGUUUGUUUGUACAUAAAACCAAUGGUUUUUCUUUUUCUUCUUUUUUUUUUAACUUGAAAGAGAACAAUAAUAAGAUAUCCACUUAGUUUAUUUAUUUAAAAGAAUAAACUUAGCUAGAAAUAUUAAGCAAUUACGCUUCGAACUUCAAAUCUCGCCAACUACAUUAGAUACGAUCAGAUAGCAUAUAAUGCGCGCAUUGUUACGCUUCCUUACAACUUUUAUACCAUUUUAUAAACAUGUAUAUACAACCAUAGCUAUUUGGAAUAAAGAUGCAUACUACGAACGACAUAUGUAUGAUUUACAAGAUCGAGAAAGAAAUCCAAUCUUUAAUAACACAGUUUGUAAAAUAAUUAAUAUCGAAGUUAUUAUUUAUGUUGCAGACAUAAUAUUUUCUUUUUUCCUCCCACAAACUCAUACAAUAAACUUAAUAUUCUUUUAAAUAUUGGAGGGCUUAUUUAGAUUUUUUUUACUGAACUAUUUUGAAAGCUAAAAUAACUUGAAAAGUUAAUGUAUCGUUUACUUAUAUGUGAUCAGCAUCGCUUUUUUCCUUUUUUUAAAAAAAAAGUAAUAUGCAACCUGCUUAGUUCAAUAAGAAAAUAAAUUAGGCUACAUAAAUGAGACAACAGAGUCUCAAAAAAAACAACAAAUAGCAACCAAAAAGCAAAAAAACUAAAACCAAAAAUAAAAAAUAAAUUACAGUUUACGAAUAAUAAUACAUCAACUGCCUUCAGCUACUAUAGUGAUCUUUCCAAAGCACUUUUAAAUUACGGAUUUUUCUUAGAGUACUGUCUAUAUUAUUUUUCAAAUUUUGAAAUAUUCUGUUAUUACUUUCCAACCACCACAGCAAUGGUUAGAAAGUCUUUCCUCUUUUUCGUAAUAUCCGUCUGUAUUCGACAAGCUUCUCAAAAGUCCUCUAUCGUCGUGUUACUUAAUAUUGCAUCAGGAUUAGGUAGUAGACGGAAAAGCAAGUAUUUGACACACAAUUUGGUUUAUUUGAAUGAAUUUUACAAUUUAAUUUACAGUAAAAUUUGUUCAAUAAUAAAAUGGUUUCAAAAUUUUCAUCUCAUGCGGAUCAUUGUUAUCACUUUCAGAAUCACGUAAAUACUAAAUAAAUAUCUUAGAUAAUAUUUGACGUUAUUAAUUGUCAAAAAUUACGUGGAAUAAAAUUCCCUCUUUUAUUUACGAAAGUAUUAAUUCUAAUUAUACUCUAAUUAGAAAAUCAACAUAUGCGACAAACUGACCGACAGUAUUCAAAAGAAAUAAAAAAAAAAAUGAUAGUAAACUUUUUUUUGUGUACUAAAAUACCUUAUUAAAUUACUUAAAUUAUAUGAUAAAGCUAACAUGUACACAACUAAUUGUGACCACAACUUUUUGAAAAACAGAGCUGAUUUUAUUAUUAUUAUUAUUAUUAUUAUUAUUAAAUAUUAAACACACCAACAUUAUGCUUUUUCUCAUGCGCGUAAUUGUCGUAAUUGUCUCGCUGACGAUGCGCCACGUGGCUGCGGAUAGAGCACGAGCGACAGAAUCUAUAUUUGACUUUUGCUGACUCGGAUACACGCUUAUGGGCGGGGCCCAGAAUUUUUUAAAAUUAUUUUAUUAUUAUUAUUUGCCUCUUGUUUGUUAUUUAUUAUAGCAAUGCCACAUGUAGGAGUGAAAGUUGUUAGGAUAAAGUGAUAAACUCCAAUCGAAUUCGAUACUUAAUUUGAUGGAAUAAGAGAAUUUGACACUUUCAUUGGAAUGUGAAUAUGAACUUUUCAUGGAGGUAUAUAAAUAAUUGCUUUUUUCUUUUUUUUUUGUAAGAACUUCAAUUUUUAUUGUUAAAUACACAAAGCUAUUAACUUAUAUGAAUUCCUAAUAUUUUUAUCACGUGGUUAAGUUUUCUUUCAACCUCAUCUCCUAUUCAAUGACCUUGGCUUUUCCCCUCCCCUCCUCUCUGUUCAGUGACCUCUAUUCAAUGUACGUUACUUAUUUUCUUUUUCAAUAUAUUGGUCAUUUCUUCUUCCUCAAACUUCUUUUCAAUGCUAAACCCUUCACCUCCCUCCCUUGAAAUCAUGAAAAUUAAUUAAUCCAAUUUGAAAUCAUGAAAAUUAAUUAAUCUAAAAUGCAACAUUUAAAUAUAUGCACCGUAUUCCACCAAUGAGUGGGCUUUAUAACUCUAAUCCAUUUCCCACCUCCAUUAAUCCCCCGCGCCUCUCUCUUUUGUAUGACCUGUUAUUUUUCAUGCAAAAAAGAACGUCAUCAGCUAAUCUCUCACUCCACACUUAUCUAGCUCUCUCUCUCUCAUUGUGUUAAUGAAGAUGAUGAGGACGAUGAAGAAGAACGUGCAAAGAAUAUUGUCUCUUUCGAAAAGUAUCAUCCUGGAAAGUCGAGCCAUGUCCUAUAUAAGUAUCCGCUGGGUUGAUUCAACUGCGUUGGAGCUAGCUCUUUUUUAUCUUUCAUAAUGGAAUGUUCAAGAGGCACAUAAUAUAAUAAAACUGUAUAUCUCUUACUAUAUUUUGAUGAUUUUUUAAAAAUUAUAUAAGCUUUUAACUAUAAUUUUAUUUUUUUAGUAGUUGAAUUUAGUCAUGCAAAUUGACUGUGCUUAAUAUGGUAUAGCUUUCUAUACAUCAAUAAGCUGUAAAUAUAGAUUUUAUUAAAAUUUUAAAAUUUUGCUUCUAUUAUCUAUCCGCCGUAUCACGCGGGUCUCUACACUAGUAUAUAUUAAAACACCAUUUUCUUGUAACAUAAUAUUAAAGCGGAAAAUCCUAAGUUCGAAUUUUACCAAGCCGUUAACAUAAUUAAUUGUUCUUAUUGAAUUCAAGUUAUGAACUUGGACAAAUAAAAAGCUAUCGAGCUCACACGUGAGAGAGAGAUGGGCAGGGAAGAGUGUAUUGAAUAUAAAAUAUUAAAAUAAUUAUUUAAUAAUAUUAUUUUUUUUUGAGAGAGAUAGGUAGCACGCUACUUUUUUCGUUUAUUUCAUUUAGAAAUAAACUUAGCUUAAAAUGUGAAUCAACUAGAAUUCAAACUUUGGACCUCAGAUACCAACCAUCAAACUCUUUGCCACUUGUUUUAGAGACGGUCGGUAACAUUCGUUUGAGAGUUUAGUGUAUAUUAACAAUAUAAUAUAUUUGGGAAGUUAUAAUAUUUUACCAUACACUAUGUUACAUAAUAUUAUAGUAAUAUAUAAAAACAAUCACAUGAUAAUAAUGUAAAAUUUUUUAAAUUUUAUGGAGGCGAAGUUAUUAAAAGAAAAUGUCCUAAUCAAAGGGCUAAAGUAUGGAGAGGGAUUCAAAAUCGGGUAGAAGCCUCUAGAAUCUAGUGCAACAUAGCCCUCACUUUCCACAAAACCAAUUUAUUUAUUUGAGCAUCAUAAAAUAUGGACACUGUUAAAAAUAUUUAUGUACUAUAUAUUUAUUGAUCUUUUAUUUUAUUAUAUAUUUAAACCAAAUUAUGAAUAACAAAUUUUUUUUACUAUUUAGAAUUUGAAUUAUUAAAUAAAUGUAUCAGCUGAAUAAAAAUUUAUUGAAAUUGCGUGCAAGCAAUAUUUUUUUUUAAUGAAAGGACUACUAUAAAAAAAAUAUUGGUAAAAAUGUAUAGAAUUUAUUUGAGAUAUUGACUAAUUUUUUCAAUGAAAGGACUACUAUAAAAAAAAUAUUGUUAAAAAUGUACCAAUUUAUUUGAGCUAUUGACCAUUUUUAUUUAGCUACUCAGUCUUUCAAAAUUUUGAUUUUAAUAUUUUAUCUUUUAGUUUGUUUGAUUUGAAUUAGUCAAUGACGUUUUGACUUCAAAAUUUAACUGUAUUAUUUAUUUUUAAAAAUUUAAUUAGUAUAUUUUACACAAUUCUCGCAACUAUAAAUUUAUUAAAGAAAAUAGCUUAAAUAUUGAUGUCAAAGCGUUGUUGACUGACUUAUCAAAUAAAUUAAAAGAUGGGGUAGUAAAAUUAAAAUUAUAAAAGAUUGGAUAUCCAAAUAAAAAUGAUAUAUAUUUUAGGUAAAUUUUAUAUGUUUUUAUCUAAAAUACUUUUACAAGUUUAGGGACUAAAAGAAAAUUUUAUCGAAAGUUUAUGGUCUAAAAUGUUGAAUCCAAAAGUUAAACAACCAAAAUAAAAUUUGAGAGAGACUAGUAACAUAAUUUAAUCACGAGCUAUGCUACUAAAUCAACAUUUUUUAAUUCUUUUUUUCACAAAAAAUCAAUAAAUUUUUUGCUAUGUGGAAAAGGGCUUGUGAAAAACUACUUUUAGUAUAAUUUACAUCACCUAUGCGAGGUAUAAAUAUAAAUAUCAAGAUUUUAAAAUUAUUUUAUGAUUUUGUUUAUCUGAAUUUUAGAGUCACUAUUUUAAUAAAAUAAUAGUUGUAUAAUUAUAUUUUACUUAAAAUUUUAAUUUAUUUAGAUAAUUAAAUUAAAAUUUUAAAAAGAUUAGACGGUUUAACCAAGAUUAGUUAUAAUUAAGAUAAGUCCGAAUCAUUUUCACCCGCUUUAUAAUUAAUUAAUUAGGUGCGCAUGCAUUUAUGCGAUGUGCCAUUGCAUGCAUGGAUGUAUGCGGGUGUCCGCAUGCGACGUUUCCGAAUUCGACCCUGGAAUGGCGGGGCCCACUAGGGGCAUUUGGGUAAAUGUGAUGAUCGUGGGCCGUCCAGCUGUCCAAAACCCGACCUUGACCACGACACGUCGCCGUCGUUUCGAUGGGAACAGGAACCAGGGAUUUUUAUUGCCUGCACCCGGUGUACACUUGUGUUUCGUGCACCACAGUACCUCGAAAUAAAAUUUUAAUUUAAUCGAAAAUAUAGUAUCGUGUAUAAUAGUUAGGACUUGGGAGUGCAUGUGUAAAAGUUACGAGUUUUUAAAAAUUUGAUAUUCUUUGAUUCAAUGAAAAACCCAGUAAUUUAUAAUUUUCAAUAUAUAAAUCUUUCAAAUAUUAUAUAAUUUUUAUAAAAUAAAUAUGUAUGAUAGAUAUUCUGUAGGUGAACUAUAAUGUAUUUUUUGUCGGAUCGUUAGCACUAAUCAUUAAUCUCAAAAGUCAGUGAUUUUUUACUCUGAUACUACUUGUCGAGUUGUUAACACCAACUAUUAAUUCUAAAAAUUUGAGUUGUUAAAAAGAUAUAAUUAAUUCAUUUAAAACGUACGAGCAUACUACCUACAAAUCUUGACUGUAACUCGGCUCAACUAAUCUCCCGUUAUUUUGAGUAUGACUCAAACCAAUCUGACUUGCUAUCAUUUCAAACAUAACUCCGCUCAACUUGACUCCUGCAACAGAGUAAUAGGAUGCUGGCUCCUUUAAACCAACAUUUUAAAUAAUUUAACAUUUCUUUAUCAACUUCUCUAAUUUUUUUAAUUUAAAUAAUUUAACAUUUCUACUGACUGUCCCUAGAGCAAGUGGCAAAGGACUUGGUGGUUGGUACCUGAUACCCAAGUUCGAAUUCUAGUUGAUUCACAUUUCCAGCUAAGUUUAGUUCUAAAAUGAAAUAAACGAAGCGGGUAGCGUGCUACCUAUCUCUCUCAAAAAAAAUUAACAUUUCUUUGUUAUAAAAUUUGUUAGUCCAAUUCAAAUUAAGAUAAAUUAAAAAAAAAAAUCAAAAUGAGACACAUGCUUCAUAUGAAGUUUAUGUAACUUUACCUACAAUAAAAAAGCAUAUUUAUUUACCUACAAUAAAAAAGCAUAUUUAUUUAAGAUUGUAUAGUGUACGAGAUAUAUGAGUACACUGCAUGCAUCCAACAAUUUCUCAAUAAACAUACGACCUCAAUACCUAAAAUUCUCAAGCAUUAUAAAAGUCGCGAUGCGGGAAAAAAAAGAAAAAAUCUCUCCUGUUACUUUCGGCGUAUUCCUUUUUCUUUUAAUUAAUAUAAUAAUAUUGGGAUUGGAAUGGGAAUAGGAAUGUAGCGAAAAAGAGAAAAGAAAAUAAUAUAAAAGCCAUUCUCAGCAGAAAAAAAUCGAUUAGCGUUCGUAACUCCGUUCGUCACCUCUCCUCGCCGUCGCCAUCGUCGUUGUUUCGUCGACACCAAAACCCUAGUUUCCGGCGCGAGCGGCGGCGGGGGGAGUUGCUAGGGUUAGGGUUUGGGGGGGAUGGGGGCUGGGGUGUCGAGCAUCAUGGGGCCGGAGGGGGAGGUGGGCGCGGAGGGGGCGGAUACGGGGCUCGGCGACCUACCGGAGAGCUGCGUCGCCGCGGUGCUCCUCCGCCUAGAGCCGCGCGAGAUCUGCGACGCGGCGCGGCUCAGCCGCGCGUUCCGGGGCGCCGCCGCCGCCGACUUCGUGUGGGAGGCGAAGCUCCCGGAGAACCACGGGUACCUGAUGAGCUUCGUAUCGGAGGGGGCGGAGAGGGGCAAGGGUUUCGUGUGUAAGAAGGAGAUCUACGCGAGGCUCUGUCGCCCGAUUCGCUUCGAUGGUGGCAACAAGGUGAGUGUUCGAUCCUUAGAUCAAGUUUUUUUGUAGAAUUUCAUCCGUAAAUUGGUUUUUCUUUUCCCCCAAAUUUAGGGUUCUUAUAGUAUUUGUUGAUGGGUGUUGAUUGAUUUGGUGCUUUUGUUGUGGUUUCUUGUAGGAAUUUUGGAUGGAGAAGCGCAGGAGCGGGAUUUGCAUGGCGAUUUCAUCCAAGGGGUUGGCGAUCACUGGUGUUGAUGAUAGGAGAUAUUGGAAUCACAUCUCAACAGAGGAAUCUAGGUAUUAAAUUUUUUCUUAUUUUGUUUUGGAUAUAUGUACCAAUUUUUACUAUGUGUUUUCUACGACUCGAUAUCAUUUUACUAUUCGAACUUUUAAUUUUUUAAAUAACUAUUAUUUUCUCAGGGAUCUCUCUGCACUGUACUUACUUUAGAGAAUUAGUUCAUUUGCUAUAAGCUGUACUCUUUUUUAUCCCUUCUUAAGACACUACUAAAAUAUUAUUUUCUCGCGAAUCUCGACGCUGUUGUCUAUUGUUGUAGAUAGAAAAAGAGCAAUUUUCUUCGGAGGCAUUGGUUGGAGGUAACAGAGAUCAUACCUUCAAUCCAUUUUGGGGGAAAAAGAGAUAGAUCCAGUGAAUUGUUCUCAAUAAUUUUUUCAGCCAUUUAAUGGUGCUUUUUUAUUUUUUCCACCAAAUUGGAUGAAUAGAUUUAUGUUAAAAUGAGUGUAAAAUGAUGUCUUUGGAAAGAAACUUAGUAAAUCGUGGAAAAUAAAGCCAGUCCCAAAGUAAGUGAUUUGUAAUUAAGCCCUUUUUUUUAAUUGAAAACUCAAGUUCAAGAUCAAAUUUUUACAUGUGAUUUUUCCUUUUCUAGCAUCCUAAUCCAAAUUUUCUCAUAUAAUAUUUUUUGACUUCUAGAAUUCUCGGUUGUUUUAGUAGCCUAGGCAUGCUUGUUCUCCACCUUGACAUGUGUAUUGUCUUUUAAUUAGUCAUUUAAUAGAGGCUCUUGUCCUGAUAUGAACUUAUUGAUUUGUUGUAAGCACAGCAAUAGAGUCCGGUACCUUUCGGACAAGUAUAUAGUUUGGUUUGUCCAUUAGAAUAAGGUAAUCUCAACUAUUUAAUGUUGUUUCUGUGUGUGCCAACUAUAAAACAUUGUACAUCGUCAUCUAGUGGCUUAAGUUUUUAGGGAAAAAAAGAAAGGAAAAAGACAGUUUCAACUUUCAGAUGGUAUCUGCUAUUUAAUUUUUUUUAAAAAAAGCCCGCCUCUGCCCAUUAAUUCAAACUCGAGUUCUGAGGCUUAUUAAAAAGUUUUGAGCCUAGACGUGGGGAAAGUGUUUAGUUUAAAAUGUUAAAACACUCUUCUCAAGUAGAUUCAACUUUUAGGAGUUGUAAUUUAGAAGCUGCUUUUUAAGCUAACUAAUUGCUUACAAACGUAAUAGGUUUGCUUCAUAGUUGUUUGCAAUUUAUUUAUUUAUUUUUUACUUUCUAGACUAGUAGAUUCUUCUUUUAUCUAGGGUUUUUAUGAAUCUUGUCAUUCUGUUGGGUCUGUCGUGUGGAAAAGCAAUUAGCUGGUUUCACGCAUCUGUUGUUUUAGGAAUUAAGAAGGGAGUCUGAUAUUGUUUGUUUCUAGUUUUAUGUUGAAAACAAUAUAAGGAAGAAUUUUGUUGGUUCUAAUAAUUGGCGAUGCAGGUAAUCAUGGGAGAAAGUACUAAGAAAAACUAAGAUCAAAACCUUGUUUAAAUUUUGUGCUACACUUACAGUCAAUCAAUAAUGCUUUUUUGGACUUUCAUACGCUAAAUAGAAACGUUAACAUCAACUUUUCUUCUGAAGCCUUUCGGCAUACGGAUUUGCUCCAGCACAUCCUUGUAUGAUUGUUAUUGAUUCAGAACCUAUUUAUCAGUAUUGGUACGGUCCUUUGUUCGGCUUCAGCAUACAAACAAAAAGUGUGGGUCUGGGCAUUAUGCAGUACAUUUUAGCUAAUUGUUUGAUUAGCAAAUGGAGUCUUUUAUAUUUUUCUCUUUUUGAUGUUAAUUAAUAUACUCUUCUUUUUUCAAAAAAAAAAAGAGAAUAUCGUUUUUUAAUUUGUAUAUCAUGUAUAACAUCUAAACUCUCCCUUUAUUGAUUUUGGAACAACCUCAUCUACUUGGCGAACAUUUAUUUAUAACUAUUAUUUUUCACUGCCAACUGUCUUUGAGACACUAACAAAAGAGCGAACACACCUUUACCCACGUAAAAAUUGCUUGUAUGUAAUUGUUUUCUCUUUUAUCAUGAAGCCAUAUAAUCAAUCCUCUUUACUGGUGCCACUUGAAAAUUCAACUAAUGGAAAACAAAUUCACGCAGAUUCGGAUCCGUGGCAUACCUCAUGCAAACUUGGUGGUUUGAAGCGGCCGGAGAAGUCGACUUCUGCUUCCCGGCAGGUAAAUACAGCCUGUACUUCAGACUCCAUCUGGGCCGGGCCUACAGGCGAUUGGGCCGCCGACUCUGCAACUCCGAGCACGUCCAUGGCUGGGAGAAAAAGCCCGUCCAGUUUCAGCUUUCCACCGCAGAUGGUCAGCACGCUCGAACCCAUUGUCACUUGGCCGAGCCCGGCGCUUGGAUCUUGUACCACGUCGGCGAUUUCAUUGUACCAAACUCGAGUGUACCGACCAAACUCAAGUUCUCGAUGACGCAAAUCGAUUGCACACACACGAAAGGCGGUCUUUGCGUCGACUCCGCGGUAAUAUACCCAAAGGGGUUUAGGCAGGGAAAGGCUUAUACAGCUUGCAUGUAAUUUCUUUUAGGGGUGGGCAGUGUAGUUUACUGGAACAGGAAUGCAUACUAGGGUACUGGCCUGCUUUUUCCCUAGGCAUCUGGUAUGCUCUGUAACAUGUAUAUAUUAGUUUGUAGAAACAGUUUUGAUCUGCUGUGAGGGGCUUUUCUUGUGAAUUAAAAAGAGAGUUUGCAAGAGAAUAGUUGUCUGAUCCCAUAUGUUUGAGUGGUUCUGUUUCUGUUUUUCAGUAACCAGUAAUAAUUUUUUUUUUUUUAGUUGGUGUUGCUUCUACUCAUGAUAAAAGUACUAAAUUAUGCUUCUCUAUAUGGCCUCAUUAGGAGUAAGGGUAUUACCUUUUUAGCCAAUUUCACCAUGUCCUCUUGUGCAACGUAUUAUUAUGAUAUUGAAUUGGUAAAAAUGCUCAGCAGUUAUUCCAAUUAUGAACUAUUUGGAAUCAGCAUUCAAUUUUUCAUUUUGACUCCAAAAUUUAAAUGCGUCGUUUAUCUUUAUAAAUUUAGUUAGUAUAAACUUCAUAAAAUUCUCGCAACUAUAAAUGUAUUAAAGUAAUUAGUUUAAAUUUUGAAGGUGCUGUAUUAUUGACUAAAUCAAAUCAGCUAACUUGGAAAGUUGAGCAGUAAAAUUAAAAUUUUAAGAAGUUUGGGCAGUGAAUUCAAAAUGAUCUAUAGUUCAAAUAAGCUCAAAAUGAUCUAUAGUUCAAAUAAGCUCGGCACGUUUUUACCUAUUGAAUUAUGUUGCGACGCAAAUUGAUAAAUGGAUGGCAAAAUAUCCUGUUCUCAUGGUGUGGAAUGUGGAUCUCUAAUUACUCCGGGGUCUCUUUGUUUCAACAUGACCUGGUCUUUUGUUUCAACAUGACUGGGGUGGUGGAAGUGGAUUAGUGGUCAAAUUGAACUUUGAAUUCGUCAAAUUCCGCAUCCGUUUGAAUUCGUAAUAACAUUUUCUCGUGUCAGGGUGAAGUCACUUACGGUAUUUUAUUUACUUACAAGUAAACAUCAAAAUACGAAAAGUAAUCAAUAAAUGAAUGCUUUCUUUACGAUUUUCUGAAUUUCAUCAAAUUCAAAGAUUCAAAAAUUUAACAAAACUGAAACCAAUUACGAGAUCUAAAAAAAACGAUUGAUAAAAAUAAUAAUAAAAUUGUAUUAUUUUAAAAAAAUGUUAUACUAUUAUAGACAAAAAUUAGUCACUCAAUAGAUUUAUUACUAUAUUUACCUUUAUAUAAUCUAUAUAUUUUAUGUCCUUAUCAACAUAGGAGUUGAUGAAUAAGAGGAUAAUGUUCCAAGAUAUGAAAAUCUUAAAUAAGAUAUCAAACGAUAAUUUUAAAAAUCAUUUGAUCAUAAGGAGAUUUGUUAAAUGAGCGCACGUUUAUCAUCGCUCGUUGGGUUGAACAAAAAAGUGGGUCCCACAUGUCACUUUAACGUCACUAUGAUACAGGGUAAAUUUUAUGGGAGGUCCCUAAGUUUCUCGCCAACUUGCAAUUUGGUCCCUAACUAUCUUGUAAUCGCACUUCGAUCCCUGACCUCUUAACAAUUCGCAACAAGGUAAGUUCGGUUCUCUUGGUUCUGAUAAUUUUUCUAGAUAAGAUCUUUAAAUAUUGUAAACCAUUUUUAAUGCAUCAAAUUUCAAUUUUAACAUGUGGAUUAUCAAAUUUUUGAUGUGAUGCAUAAAGUACACAUAUCUAAAAAAAUAAAGAAUAAUAUUAAAAAUUACUUUCCAAAAUUAAUGUACCAUAUUAAGGCCUUGGAAAUAAAACAUUGCAAACUCGUCCAACAUAGCAGAGAUUUUAAUGAAAGAAUCCGAUCAAACUAAUUAAAAAAAUAUAUAAGGGACUAAAUUGAAACUUUUGAUAAAAAGUAAAGAAAAUAAGGGCAAUAAUUGAAGGUUAGAGACUGAAUUAAAAAUAAGUAAAAGGUUAGGGACCUUUAUGUAAUUUACCCUUUAUAUAAAAUACCUUUUGACUUUUUCAUAAAUUCUUCAUUCUUGUCGACGACGUUAGUAGAAGGAUUAGGAUUCGAGUAGGUAAGCGGUUGUUAAUCACACGCUAAUUAUGCAUAAAAUCGCCCCACUCUACGCCUUCAAUCACUCACAAAGAAGAGUAUAUUUCGAAACUGAGUGGGUGGUUUUAUCACUCCACUCGCAAUUUAAUUAUAAUUAUUAUAAUCCGUCCUUUUCUUUUUCCGCAGUUUAAUUAAUAAACUAAUCAUGGAUUUCUUUAAAUUAGGGUAAACUUUAAUUUGCUCCCCAUGAUUUAACAUAUUUUCACUUUUUCAUUCCAUAGUUCAAAAAUUUCCACUUAGUAAUAAUAUAUGGUUUUAUUUUUAUUUCACGAUAAAGAUCUAAUCUUUAAAUAUGGUAGCAGAAUAAAAAUACAAAUUAUAUGACGAUAAUAUAUAUAUUAUUUUAUAUAAUUUUCUAUCUUGAUUAGUUACGAUAGGUAUUUGUAAGGACUGAGAUUUUUACAGUGCAACUAAACUUUUUACAGUAUUAUAAAAGAAAAUAAAAAAAUAGACCGAUAGAAUAGAUGAAUGUAAUGAAUGUAACUUUUUCGAACGAUAGAAUGACAAGACAAAAACAUAUUAAACCUUGGGAUAUAUUAAAUUUUAUUUUUGAAAUUAUUAAGGAAGAGCAAUGCUACAGAUACACCCUAAAGUGGGGUAUACAUUUUACACCCACUCUAUCCUAAAGUCAUUCUUAUCACAUUAAUUUUUUUAAAUUUUACUAAAAUCCAAUUUGAUAGGAGCCCGACUUUAUCGAACCCUCGGAUGAAGUUGUGUGUAAAACUUACACCUACUUUUGGACGUACAGAUAAUAUUUCUUUUGAAAAUAUACAAGUUGAAAUAGAGUUUAAUUUUGUUCUAUUGAGGUUUAGCGCAUUUUACUUUACUACUUUAUAGUUUAAAAUUUAUACUAAACUAUUUCUUAAUAUUAAUUUAAUUUUACCAUAAGGCUCUACCGUUACACAUAAUAGUAGAGUGAUACUUUAGGAGUCUGACUAUGAUACUUUUAAAAGUAUUAAGCAUUUGGUGCUUAUAAAUUUUGCGCCAUUAGAUCUAGUCACUAUUUUCAUCCGUUAGAUGAUAAUAUUCAACCAAUCGUCCACUCAAUCCUACGGGACAACUAUCAUCUUAACCACAUAUCUUCUAAUCCAAUGGCCGAAAACCUACAAGUAUCAAGUGCUUGAUGCUUUUAAAAACACCAUAGCCGAACUCAGAUAUUUUCGUAAAUCAAGAUGAUAAAACUCAUAUAGGAGGAUAAUAAAAUAUUAAUUAUAUCGUUCUCUAAUUUGCAAAAGUAUUUCUUUACUAUCAUAUCUAAUAAUAUAAUUUUAUGGUGAAAAAAAAUUAAAUAUAAUUUUUUUAAUUGCAGAAUGACAAAAUAAAAAUAUAAUAACAACACAAGUGUAAAUUGAAGAUUAUCCUUAAAAAUAAAGGCCUACACUGUACUUUAGUCUUUUUUUUUUCAUCUGUAAUAUUGUACUAUCUUUUUUAAAAAAAAUGCUAUUAUAUUAUUAUAUUUUAUCAAUCUCCACUCUGUUUUUAAAAUUUUUUUUUUAUUUUGUACCUUUUUUUAAUAGAUAUUACUCAAUUAUUUUUUUAUCACCAUUCCCUGCAUUACUGUGAACAAAUUUAUUAUCUUAAAUAAAAUCUAACAACUUUAUUAAGAGACAAAAAAUAUAAAAUAAAUUUUCAUAAUGCACUCACUGAAACUGCUAUAAAAUUAUUUCAUCUAUUUUUUUUAUUCUCUAUAACUAUUUUAUUUUUUUAUGUUAAAAUAAUCUGAAUAUAUAUUUUACUACUUUCAAUCAUUAUUUUUUAAUAGUUUUCAUUCAAAAUUAUAAAUUUAUUAUUUCUAAUGUAGAAACUAAAAAAAUAGUUGAGUGUUGCAUUUGUAAAAAUAAGAGAAACUUUCAAAUAUCACCCUUGUGGUUUCGUACUUUCUCAUUUUAAUAUCCUAUGAUUUAAAGUGUAUCAAUUUAGUAUCUAUGGUUUCAUUUUUCUUUUUUUAUUAUCCAUUCCACUAAUUUUUUUUCGUUAAAUCAAUGACAAAGUUAAAGCUAAAAAGGAGUAAAGUGAAUAUUCGUAGGAAGUAUCUGAAGCUUUUUGUAUAUAAUUUAAUAAAAUAUUAACAAAGGAGCUGAUGAGAAGAGAAAAAUUAAACCAUAUGGUACUAACUUGAUACACUUUAAACCACAUGGUACUAAAAUAAAAAAAGUGCAAAACCAUAUGAGUGGUAUUUGAAGUUUACCCAAAAAAUCUAUUACUAGCAUGUGGAGUUAGGUUAUUGUGCUGCCACGUGUUUGUGGGCUUCUUUCGGUGCACCUAGUGCAUCAUAGACCAUUGUGAGUGCAUGGGCGGAUCUUGGGCGUUCCAUGUAUAUUCUUAUAUAUUAAAGGUGGGUUCAGAAUCGAACUUCUACACAACUGUACUACCAGGUGUCUUGGGGUUGCUUUUUUGUGCUCCUGGUGCACCAUAGAUCGUUGAUUAUGGACAUAUGUAUGGUCUAUGGGGGAUCUUAGAUGUAUCUGUUAUAUAUAUAUUUUUUGACAUUAAAGAAGGGUUUAGAGGGUAUCAAAGUGACACGUCCUCCAAAACCCUCCCCUCAUCUCUCCUCCAAUAUAUAUAUAUAUAUAUAUAUAUAUAUAUAUAUAUAUAUUGGUUAUAAAUUGUAUACGAUUCUAAAUUUAAAAUUUUACAAUUGUAAAAUUUAAAAUAAAUUAACCAUUUUUAUUAAUAAUUAAUUGUACAUACAAAAGAAUUAAUUUAUUUUAACAGUCAAUUAAAAACAUACGAAUCAAGUAACUACUUUUUAUUUUAUCAUAAUAUUUUCAAUUCUCGAUAUUAUUUGUAUGUGUCGACAAAAAUGAUCUGAAUAGAAUUAGAAGAAUAAUAAUUUAAAAAAAAUACAAAAAGAGGAUAUGUAUCUUUUGGACAAACUGGCCUAAAAAUAAGCAUAUUACAAAAAUUUUUUUGCUUCAAAAAAUUUUGAAAAUUUACAGAAUCCUAAGAAUCUAUAUAGGAACUAUCGAAUACCUAGAGACAAAAUCUAUAGCAAAAUUUUAUAUUUUCAAAUUAAAUAUUGAUACAAAUAUGUAUUUAAUAUAUAUAUAUAUAUAUAUAUAUAUAUAUAUAUAUAUAUAUAUAUAUAUAUAUAUAUAUAUAAUCGAAAUAUAUAUUAUUAUUUUAUAAAUAUAAUUAAGAACGUACCCACCAUAUUGGUGACAAAGGGGGGUUACAUCGCUAGUAAUAACUAUAUGGCUAGUUAUAACUAGGAAAAACUUCAAAAACGCCCCUAUGGUUUCGUACUUUUUUAUUUUAAUACCCUAUAGUUUAAAGUGUAUCAAGUUAGUACCCUGUGAUUUCUGACUUUAUCACUUUAGUAUCUUGUGGUUUAAAAUGUAUCAAGUUAGUAUUCUGUGUUUUUAUUUUUGUAUCAAAUUAGUAUUAUGUGGUUUUUAAAUCACAGGAUACUAAAGUGAUAAAGUGCGAAACCACAAGGUACUAAAGUGAUAAAGUGCGAAACCACAGGAUACUAACUUGAUACACUUUAAAUCAUAGGGUACUAAAGUGAAAAAAGUGUAAAAUCACAUAGUACUAACUUGAUACACUUUAAACCAUAGGGUACUAAAGUGAGAAAAAAUGAAACCACAAAGGGGGUAUUUGAAGUUUUCCCUAAAUAACUAUAUGGAAGGUGAAAAAGUUUAUAAAUUAUAAUAUAAAAUGAGUUUGACUGGGCUACUAUCGGUAGUAAAAUGCUCGGUUUACUACCGAUUUGUUUUUGAUGAUAAAGCUUCCAAAUUGACGAUCGGCACCGUUGAACAUGAUUUAAACCAUCUAAAUUAUCUAGAAAUCAAAUUUCAUGAUUUUUUGGCAUCACUAACUGAACGAUCAAAGGGUCACAAAAUCUAUAAUUUUAAUGGCCGAUAUGAUGCGUUUGCUUGUUUAACGGUACAGAAGAGUUCAAAUCAACUAAAUUUUUGUUAAAAAAUUUUUUAAACUAUUUAAAAUAAGAUCUAGACUCUAGAUCUCAAAUAUAAAAAUUGUAUCAUCACUUUUUGAAAAAUAUUCAUUUCCAGCUAUUCAUUUUUCUGUUCACUUGAUGGACAAGAGAUCAAUAUCGAAAAUGUGUGAAAUUUGAUUUCCAGAUAGCUUAAAUAGUUUAAAUCAUGUUUAACGGUGCCGAUCAUUAAUUUGGAAGCUCUAUUAUCGAAAAUAAAUCGGUAGUAAAUCGAACCAUUUAGUACUGAUAGUAUUCCAGCAAAACUCAUAUAAAAUAUGCAAAUAAAAAGCUGAGGAGUCUCUUUCGAAAUAGUUUAUACUUGAGGGGUCUCCGUACAGUUCCGCCAAACUGCGUCUUCAUCAUCUCUCUCGAAAAAGGUCUCGUCGGUUCCCGCGACGCUUUCAUUUCCUGCGAGUUUUUCGCCCCUUUUUCCCUUUUUUUUUUUUCCCUUCUUUUUAGCCCUGCUAGGGUUUAUACUCAUCACAUGAUCACCCUCUCCUUGGGUUUCUCACAUCGCUCGGGGGCCGCGUCCGCUUCGUUCUCGAGGUAAUCCCCCCCCCCCCGGCUCCUUUUUCCCAUUUUUAGGGGUUCCUCGGAGAAUUCUUGGUUUUGAUGCGCGUGCCGUGGCUAAUUCUAGGGUUUGCGAUGGAGAAUCGCUGGGACUUCUUGGAAUGGCUGGGCCCGGAUACCUCGACGACCGUGUUCAUGCGAUUGGAAGAUGCCGCCGAUCUCGCGCGCGCCAUUGCCGUGUCCCGAUCGUGGCGCCAAUUUGGUGGGUUUUUGCCUCCUCUUUUUUUUUUCUUUUUGCUGAUUUUAGUAAAAUUUAUGCGAUUUUUGGUGCUUCGAUAUUGCUAAUUGAUCAUCUGGUGGUCGUUGUCCUAAUCGUGGCGCCAAUUUGAUGAGUUUUUGCUCCCUCUUCUUUUGUUGAUUUUAGUAGAAUUAAUGCAAAUUCCGUGGUUUUGGACCUCUAAUUGAUCAUCUAGAGGUCGUUCUUUAGAUACUUAUGGUUUGUUGUUCGUUUCCAGUGAUCGAAAGCAAUUAUGGCUGGGUUGGUUUUGUGUGCUGAUGCUGUCUCGCGGUGCUUUAGAUUAAAUUUUGUGGUCACUGAAUUUGUGAUUGGUAUGAUCAAGGCUUAUUUGCAAGUUCCUCUUUUUAGUUGAUUCAAUUGUUAGUCAGUAUGGAGUGCUAAUGAAAAAAGGCGCCUUUGGUGAUGGAAAUUUUUAUGUCAUUGAAUAUAAUCCGUUAAACAAAAUCCUUUCUUUUUCUCCUUUUCCUUACCAGUCAAUUGUUUACGUGGUCGAUAAACGACAACGGAUAUAUUUGGGAUAGAUUUGAUUUUUAAUUCAUGUUGGCAUAAAAGUAAUUAGUACUAGAUACGUACAUAGAAUUCUGCUAUGUUAGAUGCAAUAUCUACUUUGUGGAUAACGACAAUUGUUACACAUUUACAAUUUGGUGAGGGUUCGGUAAUAGAGCGCUAAGAGGACUGCACUAAAAUUCUUAUCAAAGGGUUUAUGCUGAUUUUGGUGAACUUGUUACUUAAAUAGAAUAGCGAACACAUCAGAUUUUGGGUACUUGCAUGUAAUUGUUUCAAUAAGUUUUAAGCUGAUUUUAUCCUACAGAUACCGCAAGUGUUUGUGAGAGGACUAUGCCAACAUUUUCUUUAACCACAUCUAUUCGACUGCAUACGUAGUUUCUUGUGGUGGUCUAUCAUUACGAUUUCUUUGUUUUAUUAUCUCGUUUAGUCGUUUAGAUGGCUUCCAUGGCUAGCUCAAGCAUGAAAAACAAAGUAUAUUGCUGUCUUGAUUUUUUUUAUCACUUUCUUUUGGGGAGUUUAUUUUUACAUCUUACAGCUACUGUACAGUAAAUGUUCAUAACAGAAAUUUGACCACUUGUGUGCAGGCAAUGGUAAUUUCCUUAUUGGAUUUGUAAUAUGUUUUACUAUUUUGAUAUAAUUUUUUUUUCCUAUUUCUUCCACAUGAACGGAGAGUUGUUGAUCGGUUAUCUGGUAUUUCCUUUCUUUUCCAGAGUUAGUGGCACUUCCUUUUUCCAUUUCUAGUGUAUGUGCCAAAUGUGCAGUGUUCUAUGCUUUCCAUGCUAACUAUAUCAAAUGUUUCUUUGCAGUAAUUAUGAACAGUUUUAGCAAGAAUCUUUGCCUAAAAAUUUGUCCGGAGGCUUCAAAGUUUAGUCAGAUAGUGGAAGUGAAUAGUUCAACCACAGAUCCGGAAGUUGGGUCUAGCACUGCUACAGAAUGGAGAAGAAUGGAGAGGGAACACAGGAUUUAUAUGUAUCUUCUUCACUGCAUUGUUUCACCUAAAGGUUUCCGGGAUUGCAUCCUUCAUUGUAUAGGUGCUUCCAGCACUGAUAAUUUUCCAGAUGAGAGCAUUGAAAACACAUUGGAACCAAGCGACCGAGUGGAUAUGAGACCAUCGUACUGGUCUAGUAGUGGGCAGAGAGAUCCUGGAGUACCUGAGAGUCUAACUUAUCGACUAGGCUCUGAUUUAUGCGUCAUUAAUGAAAUUAAGAUACAGCCGUUCAAAGGUUAGUCUUUUAUACUAUUCAUAUGGGAACACUUCCUUUUAUGGGUAAUUGAUCCUGUUGUCCAUUCUUGUUUUUAUUCAGCAUUUUUCCAGAUUGGUCAUCCCAUAUAUUCUGCCAAAUCUGUGCGCUUUUGGAUGGGUCAUUCCAAGCUCUCUCCAGAAUUGGAAUCAGCAUCGUAUCUCUCUGAUGAGAAUGAAGGCCAACUAACUGCUGUUGACAACUAUGUAUGGACAUAUAUAUCACCAGAGUUUCCAAUGUUGCAGGUAAGCUAAGAUCAGUCGCGUCUUUGCCUCUGUCGUUGUCGAACUUCUGUUAGGAAUAUUUCCGUGACUUGUUUAUAUCACGAAAUGCUGUUUGCACCAGCAAAAGGGUAAUAUACUGGUGUUGCUUCAUUAACUGUAUUUUGAGAUAGGUAGAUAAGUUUUUGCCAACUGACUUACAUCUGUAGGUUUUGGGGAUAACGAUAUCUUUGUGCUAUGUUUUCUCCGUGAGAAUUGUAUAAGGCCCAGCUAAUAUUGGGCUCUUACUUUAGUUUUCUGCGUGGAUUAUGAAGUUGAAUAUGUGAUAUGGUUUAGGAGCCUAUGAGGGAACCUAUCGAAAUCUGGAUCCAUUUCAUCUGCUUAUUCCUACACAAGUUGGAUAUUUUGGACUUGUUGGAUGCCUCAACAGCUUAUCCAACAUAACUGUUCUGAUUCACUAUUGGGCAUUUCUUACUUAAGUAAUGAGAGACAUGAUAAGAUGUAUGUACAUGGAAGUAAGAGGUGUUAAAUUUCCGUUCUAAGAAUAUGACUAAUAGGUCGUGCAAAAAAAAGAUUUAAGUUAGACUGUCAUACUCCCAUACUGUAAUCACUAAUCACAGUAGAGAACUUAUCUCCUUGUCAUACUAUAACUUGGUCCAACAUAUAAAUUAUGCCCUUAUGGUAUAUGUUCCUUCACCAUAAGUUGAGAGAUAUGUUGCAUUCACUUUUAUUGCAACUUGUUAGACAAUUUUGUAUAGAAUUUGGAAAGCCAAGUGCUUUUCAUAAAAUAUGGCAUGUUUUUAUACUGUGUAAGUGGCUAUACUGUUCUUCUCUUCCAAUACAACCACCGAAAAAUGAAAAGACUUCUUAGUUCAUUCAAUUUGACAUGCAUCAUUCUCCAAAUCUGCUGACCACUAUUUCUGGGUAACGUGCCGGAUGCUUUUUAGAAGUUGGACAUUUAUGAUGAGAAAGUUCCUGCACCUUUUAUUAAGAAAGACACGAGCUUAUAAAAUAAAGCUUCUGUACAUUUAUGUGACAGCUUUUGCCUGAACUACUGAAGCUGAGAGAAGCAUCAGAAGCUGUGUUCCCUCGGCAGCUGAUGUUAGGCUCCUUUAGACUGACUGUCCAGAAAAUUGGUCCUUUUCACCUCGUUUCUUUCUUGUGUCCGUUCAUGUUCUUCUGUUUCCCUCGUCUCUCUGUAGAUUGAAUCAAUUUCUGAAAUAGAAAAUUGUUUAAUGAACUUGUGCUGUCGCAGUGUCAUCAGCGUUUUGAAGAUAUUCCUUUAUUGAUUGUAUUUUUCUUUGAGACAAGUUUUAAAAAUAUCCUCUCUUUUGUUUGAAAUUCUCUAAUAAAUUUGGGUUUUUGUAUGUUCCAGGAAAAUAUUUUGCAAUCUUUUAAGCUUCCGCGUCCGGUUCUUUGCAUUGGCGGUGUAGUGAAGAUUGAACUUUUGGGUAGGGUUCAGAAACAGGCAAUUGAUGAUUUGUAUUACAUAUGGUCAGUUCUUCCUCGAUUUUCUAUUCUUCUCUUUUAGUUAUGUUUUACGACAGUCAAUCUACGUGAAACUUUUCAGAAAAGCUAAAAUAAAAGGUUAUAGGCUGAUGCUAAGUUACUAAGAUGGCUACUUGCACCGGCACCACCACACUAGCCCUCACUGAAAAGGCCUAUUAAAAAGUUAAAACUUCAUUGCCUUGUUUAGACUUUCUCAUACUAUUCCUAUCCUUUUCGAAGUCCGUCUAUGCUACUAUCGAUAGUAGAUGAAUAGUGUUUGCUAUCUAAUUUUUAGCCCUUGGAUCAUUUACUAUUCCACCUAUUCCACCUAAACCCAAGGCAUCAGAAGGCCAUAAACUAAGUGGUAAACACUAUUCCUAUACACUUGACAGUAUUCUAGCUUUGCUCGUCCUUUCUUUUAAAUAUUUUAUCUUGCAGAUGAUGAGUCCAUCUUCUUCAUGCAUUUCACCCUAAAGUUGAUAUCUGCCUGGGUAGUUGUUAGUAAACAAGAAUGAAAAUAAAUUUCAUUGCUCCGAAAUUUGAUAGCUUUAGUUCAUAGUGAUUUUAAGAGGCUUUAUUCUUGCCUAUUUUGAAUCAGGUUUUUUUAUUGAGGAAUAAUAUUUUAUACGUAAUCCCUCUUGGAUAUUCACUCUUUUUAUGUUCUCUUGCAUUGGUACAGCGUGUGUCAUGUCCAAGUGAUCGGUCGGCCGCUCUCGCCUGUCCUAGCCGUUAAUAUUCUAGAGGGUGAUGGUGGUUCCAUUCUCAAGUACUUUCCCGGGGCCAGGGACUUGGGUGGUUGGCAUGCGUUUGGCGCCAGACACGGGCAGAUGGGAGCCGCGGGAGGAUGCAAUCAAGCGGUCCUCAACACACUGCUCGAGCCUGUACUGUUUGCCGAUGACGGCGAUGUUUCGGGGGAAGAAGACUCUUUUCCCGAACCAGCAUUGUAAGUUAAUAGCUGCGGCGUUUUGGCCCCUAUCCUUACGGUUUGCCGGUCAAGCCUGAAAAGUAAUUAUAGUCGCGCUACACUUGUUGUUUGUCGAAGAGCACUAACUAUACUCGUCUCGCAUAUCGGGGGUGCGUUUUGUCCGAUGCUCACAAACAAAACGCCCCAAAUGAAGUAAAGUUGUAUAGGUUUGCUGAGAUAUCUGCCCCUUUCAGUUUCUUUUUAUCAGUCAUAAGUGCUGCUGUGGUUUUUUCGGUCGUCUGUGAUCAACAUUUUCUGGAAGCUUCUACAAUAAGCACUUGAUCUAAAGGAUGAUCUGCUUUGCCCCUUUUGUUUUUUUUUGGGGAUUAUAGAAUAGUUAGUAUUUCACCCGCUGCAAAAUCCAUACUGUUGCAUUUCGUUCCGUUAUUAAUAUCAUCAUCUAGGAGUUCUCACAAUGACUGACGAAAUCGAAAAAGAAAUAAAAAAAAUAUUCCUUACAAAUAUUUAUGAUUAAUUUGUUAAAAAGUAUUCUAAAUAAAAAUAAAUAGUUAUGAUUAAUUUAUUGAAAAAUAAUAUUUCUAUCUAUCUAUAAAAUUUAAAAAUAGAUGGUUAUGAUAAAUUUGUUAAAAAAUAGUAUUUUUAUCUAUUUAAAUUAAAAUUUGAGUCUAAAUAAUGAAUUAAAUUUAACUUUUAAUAUCAAAUUUGAAUUAACAAUUAAAAUUUUUUAAUUACAGUGGAUCAUAAUUAAAACUUAAAAUUUAAAAUUUUAAAGUAAAUGCGAAUUAAAUUUUGAUGUUUUUAGUUUAAAGCACGUAUUUAAAUUUUAUAUGGUCAAUUAGCAUAAAAAAUCCACUAGUUUUGCGAUUUUGUAAAAGUGGGUCACUAUUUUAGAUUUUACUGAUUAUGACUGAAUUUUUAGUAAUCUAACAAAAAUACUCUUAUUCCCUUUUCUCUCUCCUCUUUUUUUUUUUUCUUUUGUUUUGUUUUUUUUUUUUUUUCCUUUCCGUCACUCCUCCACCACCUUCGUGGUCUUCGGCAACGGUAACGAAGGUGGUACUGCCUUCUCUUUCAUUGACUCCACCUCCGUCGGCGCCGGUGCUGACACUAAUGUUAGCGCCAGAGGAAAAGAACUCGGAGUCACCUCUACCUCUAUUGGCGCCGGCGUCAACGUGGCGCUGGAGGAGGAGAACUCGGAGUAUGCGAGGAUGAGGGCGGACUGGACGGAAGCAAUGAGGUCGUUACCGAGGAGGUGUUUGCGGUCCGUGAGAAUAAGGGCGAAGACGCGCCCAUCUCCAAGAAGUGAAAAAGGAUACAUAGGAUAGAAAAAAAAAUAAAAAAUAAAAAAAAAUAAAGAAAAAUUUUUUUCUUGAAAGACUAUUAUAUAUCAUCACUGUUACAGAAAAUAUAAUGAAUCAGAGAAGAAGAAAGAAGAAGAUGAUGGUUGUAUUAUUAAAAUAAAGUUGCACUGUUUCACAAAAAAAAAUUGCAUUGUUUAAAAUGAACAUUCCACUCUUUGAGAUGAAAAUUACAUUCUUUGAAACGAAAGUUGUACUUGACAAAAGUUAUACUGUUUCAGAGAAAAUUCCACUGUCUAGCACAGCAAUCACUCUCGCUAGCGCGGGCCCCUCCACCCUGCGCAUCGCUUCGAAGCGCUGAAACCUGGAGAUGACCUACCUCCCCUGCGCGAGGCUCACUCUGCUCCGCUCCACCAUCACCACCACCAACGCCGACGCUAUGUUUGCCAAGAUCAUCAAGUGCGGCGGCCGUGAGGUGCCCAAAUUCGAGUCCUUCUCCGUCGACCCCUCCCCCUCUCCGCCUCGCUCGUCUCCAUCAACCACGCCUCCCCCUCUACUAUCACCAUCGUCACCGUAUCCCCGCUCUCCUCAGCUCCAUCAUUGUCGCCAUCGUUGUUGCCGCAUCAUCUCCGCUAGGGGAGAGCGGGGGCGGCGAUGAUGGCUACAUACAGUCAGUUUAAGAAGGAAGGCUAAACUAAUAAAAGAAAUUUAGAAUAUUCAUUUUUUCACUUUACCCCUCUCAAAAUUUUAAGGUGAUGUAUUUAGGCAUCUCUAUCAGAGUUCCUUUACUAUUUUAUUUAUUUUUUUAUAAUAUAUACUGAAAAUAUUCUUGAAAGCAAUAAAAAUAUAUUAAAAAUAUAUUUUUUAUAAAAUAAGUAAAGAUAAUUUGAUCAUUUUAUCAUCUUUAUUAAUACCGUAAUUUUUUAAAAUAUUUAUAAAAUUUUAAGAGAACGAAAUAUAUUUUUGUAAAAGUCGUAAAGAAAAAGUAAAACAAUGAAAAUUUAUAGUGGGAUUUUAUGUAUUUUAGGAAAAGAAAAAAAAAAAAACAAGAAGGGUCUAUUCCUUGGAAAAAAUUUAGAAUACACCACUUAUAUUACUGACGUGGCGUCUCCAACCAAUUAUAUUGUGUCCUUUGAGUUCACUCAUCCAAUAAUGGUUAAUAAAAAAAUAUUUUUAUUCUACCUUUUUUUUUUUUUAAAGAGAGAUAUAAUUAACUUGUUACUGAUGAUGUGGUGUAAGUGUGACAUAAUAGACUUCCUCGCCGAGAGGAGUAUACUUUCUCAUACUCAAAAAAAAAUCUUGAAUGCAUCACUUAUAUUACUGAUAUGGUGUUCCCAACUAAUUAGAUUAUAUCUUUUAGAUUCACCUGUCCCAUUAUGAUAAAUAAAAAAAUUAAUUAUAUAUAUAUUUUCAAAAAUAUGAUUAAUUUAUUAAGGGUAAACUUCAAAUAUCACCUCUGUGUUUUCACACUUUAUUACUUUAAUAUCCCGUGGUUUAAAGUGUAUUAAUUUAGUAACUUGUGGUUUUAUUUUUCUAUUUCGUCGGCUCUUCCGUUAACAUUUCGUUAAAUUAUAUACAAAAAACUUCAUAUACUACUACAUCUAAAUUUAUCGAAUAGUCAUUUUAGUAUUUUUUUUAGUUUUAACUUUAUUGCUGAUUUAACGAAAACAAUUAAAAGAAAAUAAAAAAAUUACCAAAUAUGAAAAUAAUAUAUUUUAAAUCAUAAAAUAUUAAAAUAAAAAAUGUGAAACAUAGUUGGGUGGUAUUUGAAGUUUUUCCACUUAUCAAUAAUGACGUGGUCUGAGUGUGACGUUAUAGAUUUCCUCCUCUCUACUUAGGGGUGUAAUGUGUGCCGUGCCGGGCCGGCACGACCCACAUUAUCCAGGCCGAAAUGGGUCAGGAGUUGGUCCGGCCCGGCGCGGAUUUACAUCCGGGCCGAGCUGUGUCGGGCCGGAUGCACCAACCAUCCGACCCAGCACGACCUCAGGCCCGGAAGGUUCGGGCCAGGCCGGACUUCGGGUCGGCCCUUUAAAAUUUUAUUUUUAAUUUUUUUAAAAAAAUAUAAAAUUUUAAAUUAUGAUUAAUAAGUAUUUCUAUUUAAAUUUAUAUUGUGAUUAAAAAUUUUUAAAUUUAUAAAUAUUUUAAUUUUCUAAAAAAUUAAUAAAUUAUUGUUUAUUAUUUUAAAUAUCAUUAAGUGAUUUUGGUCCAUCGGACGAACUUGUUUAAGUUGGUCGCGAUGACCAAAACCGCCCCGCCCCCGCCCCCCCCCCCCCCGCCGGAGCUUCGACCACAGCCAAGGCAAUUGGGGUCUGGGCCGUACUGGUCCGGUCGGCCGCGGGCCGGCCCUGUGCCCGGCCUGCACUGCCCGAGGCCUGUCUGGCCAGGCACGAGUUCUACAGUAUCAGUCAGGUGCUGCAGCCAGGCCGGAGACGCGUGGGCCGUCCGGCCCGUUUUACAUCCCAAUCUCUACUCCUCUCGCGGCCUUCUGCUUCCUAACGAAAAUUGCGUGAAACCGAGGACAGAAAUGGAAGCAAAAAAUUGCGUGAAACCGGGGACAGAAAUAAACCGGACGACAGAAAUGGCGAGCAAAUGCGUCGCGCUUCUUUUCCCCACCAUUCAAAUCCCCUCCGAACCCCAGCUUCGCACCUCCACCUCCACCUCCACCCCAACUCCAAUUCCCACCACCACCACCACCACCACCACCGUCGCCGAAGACGCCUCGCCAUCAGAGCCCAAAACUCCCACUCUCCACAGCAGCAGCUCAAUCUCUCCGUCCUCCGCUUCACUCUCGGCAAGCGAAACAAACACUCCCUCACUGCUCUUCUUUCAAGCAACUAACUUAAACAUCACACGCUAUGCUAUGCUAUUGCUCGCUCUGAUAUCGGGCCGAGGAUAAACCAGUUAUGCGUAAAAAAUGAAUACUAAACGGAGAGAGAUCUUGCAGGUAUACCCGGUUUGGACGAGUCGUACCUGCCCAGAUGGAUCGGCGCGGGGUUCGGGUCCCUCAUCCUGCUCAACCACUUCCUCUCGUCCUCCUCCUCCGCAGUGGCGACGUCGGCGCAGCUCGUGAGUCUCUUUCUCUUCGUUCUUGAUGUUGUUGUGUGGAAUAAUUGUUGUUCUGAUUAUUUGGGUUUUUCCCUUCUUUUAUGCGAGUGCAGCGAUCUGAGGCUCUGGGCCUUUGCUUGGCCGCUUUCUCGCUCGCGCUUCCGUAUCUCGGGAGGUUCCUUGAGGUGGGGAGGGACUGCAGUGCCCGCAAUGUGUUUGUUGAAUUGCCGAUACGAGUACUAGAAUGCUAUGUUUUGCCGUUCUGUGGUUUGUAAAAUGUAUUAUCUGAGCUAUGGACUAUUUUGAUUUUACUAUCCAACCUUUCAGUUUGUCUGAUUUGGAUCAGUCAACGACACUUUGAUUUCAAUAUUUGCACGAAUUUGGUUUGGUUAGUAUACUCUAUGCAAUUCCCGCAAAUAUAAAUUCAUUAAAGUAGGUAAUUAGUUUAAAUUUCAAAAUCAAAGUAUGGUUUACAGAUUCAAAUCAAACAAAUUGAAAGAUUGGAUAAAUCAAAAUUUUGAAAGAUUGGGCAGCCCAUCCAACAUGGUUUACAGUUCAUGUAAGUUUUGUACGUUUUUACAUAUAAUAAACUAUCUAACCUUUCAAUUUGUUUGAUUUGGGUCAGUCAUUAGGCAGCCCAUCGAAAAUAGUUUAUGGUUUAGGUAAGUUUUGUACGUUUUUACAAAUAAUAAACUAUUCAACCUUUUAGUUUGUUUGAUUUGGGUCAGUCAACGAUACUUUGAUUUCAAUAUUUGAAUGUAUUGUUUAUCUUCACAGAUUUGAUUUGGUUUGUAUUCUUUAUACAAUUUUCGCAGCUAUAAAUUCAUUGAAGUAAGUAAUUAGCUUAAAUUUCGAAGUCAAAGUACCGUUGACUAACUCAAAUCAAACAAAUUAAAAAAUUGAUUAAAUCAAAAUUUUGAAAGGUUGGGUAGCUGAUUCUAAAUGGUCCAUAAUUUAUGUAAAGUUCUGUACGUUUUUACCUUUAGUAUUUCACUAUCCAAUGGUUUAUACAUUAUACCAUUUUGGUACCCUAGAGAUCUUUAGGGCGAAACAAAUACAAAAUACCAAACCGCAAGAUACCAAAGUGGAACUUUUCAAACAAUAGGGUAGAAAAGUGAAAAUGCGUGAAAGCACAAGUGAGCAAAUUGAAGUUUCCCCUAAUUAAUUCCAUUGUUUAGGAAAUGGAGAUUUUAUAUGCAUAGCAUGCAAUGCUUCUUUGUCAAAUCUAUAGAUUCAUAUAAAAAGAGUGUACGUUUUUCAAUGUCGAGAGAUAGCUAUGGACCUGAAUUUAUUUAGCGGACUAAAGCGAACUUUUACUAAUCGUUCAGUAAAUCUUGUGUAGGGUAUAAAUUCAGCGGAUCGUCAGUCACUUCCAGAAGGAAGUAAGCAAAUAUUUAUCAUGUCUGAAGAGCUGUCAGAUACUGAGAAGGAAGAUAUGGCUUGGGCAUCGUAUGCGAUAUUGCGCAACACCAACACGAUGUCGGUGGUAUUUUCAGGCACUUAUGUUUAUCAUUUGAAUUACUUUUCUUUUAUUGCCACAUAUAGUUGAUGUAUAGGCUAUUGUUUCUUAUUGAUAUGGCUCAAGCUGGCUUGUUGCGCUUUAAUGGAAAAAUGUGAAUUUGGUUCUCAUUUAGGUUUAUGAAUAUUUUAAGUUCAUUAAAAAGAGAUGGCUCAGUUCUAGCGCCUGUAAUUGUUCUUAUGGACUGUUCUUCUGCGCCAGCUUAUAAGAGUUAAUAACGCAUUAUGUAUACGUGGCUACUGGAACACGCCUGAAGAUGUUUCAAGAGUUGCCAUGAUUGAAUUGUUUAAAAGCCAGAUUCAGCAAAGCGGGCUUCUUGAUCUGAAGGAUGCUUUAUACUUUCCCAAAUUCACAGGUAAAUGGAUAUUCUUUGAGGUUUCUGUUUCUAGGAAAGGGCAAUACGAUGUUGAGGGUGUACUUACAUCGCAUAGAAUAUGAAUGAUUUGCAUAUUGCGUUCUGUUGACUUAAUCAAUUCAGUUGCUUGAAAUGAUGACCUAAAAGGCACCAUUUGUAUGUAUGUAACUUGCUUACUGUUAUGUCAUUAUAUUGUUCUCAAAAAUUGAAAUUGGUUUCGACCUCCAUGCAGAUGUUUGAUAUUAAAAGAAACCCUUCAAAGAUUAAGAAAAUUUGUUACAAUGUAGCUCAAAAUAUGUACAAGUCUUUGCCACAUAAAGUUAUACAUUGGCAAGUCACUUUUAGAGCUUUCUGUUUUGUUUACUUAGUACAUUUUCGUUGCAUUGCAUGCUUAUUUCUUCUACUGUCUUGUGAAAUUCAGAUUCUCAGCUUGGGAGGAUUCUACCCAAAGAGACUCUUUCUCUUCUAGUACAACCAGUUAUGAGCUCCUCCAAACCAACCACUGAUACAACAGAGAUUGAAGGUUUUGUUUUGUUGGCUUCCAAUUCAAAUUAUGCAUACAGUGAUAAAGAUAGAGCGUGGAUACGAGCAGUUGCAAGUAAAUUUCAAGACAUGACCGUCAAAGAGUUUCAAGGCAUCUAGGUGUUGUACAAGCAUACUAAUCUAUUCUGUUUCUUGAACUAUAUUUUGUUUCUUUGCUGUGCAAAAAUUUCUUUGGGAACUUGUAUGUCUUCUAUCUCCAACCAUUAAUGAUAUACAUGGUUUUUGUUGGGUAAAUUUCCGUUCUUUAAAAAAGUGAUCCUUAUUUGAAAUAAUUGUGACAGAAGAAUUAUGAACUCUUUUAGGUAUUAAGCAAGUGAAUAUUACGCAUAAUGCUAGAUCCUUCCCAGCUAGGAUGUUACUCUAGAUUGACUUGAUGGAGGAGAUAGAGCGCCGCAACCAUCGGGAAAGCAAGAAUAAAUGGUAAUUAAGAUCUAACAUUCGUCAGUAUUUUGAUUUAAUCACAAGUGUGAGGAAAACUGUUGAACUAGACCAAGGCGACAUAGCUAUUGAUAUUGAGAUACCUGUAUACAACUAGAAAGGGAUUCUUUAACCAGAAAGAAUUCAGUUCAGAUGUAGGAUUCCUAUUCACACGUCUUUGCAACUCAAUCAUGUAUGAUGAAAUCAUCAAAGAUUUGAUCUUUUCUAACUCUGUCUAUAACUCACUAGAGGCUCAGGAAACGAGUAUAGAAUAGCAACACGGAAACUUUUAGAGUGGCUUAUGACUUAUGAGCACAAAUGAUUGAACUACUGUACAGAGGUAAAGCCCCAUGCGAACAACAAGAGCCAUGAACUUUUUCUUAUUUUCCUCAUGUAAGAAGCUUGUAAUUAUUUUUUAUCCCCUUUCUAAUCAUUUGGUUAAAUAUGGGAUUGCAACUUAGGAGCCACUUGCUACACCUUAGAAGCCCCUUCCUACAAAAAGAAUCAAAAUGCUGCUAAAUGAAUUGCAUGAGAACCAAUUUUGUCAUUUCAAUUGUUUAAUCACAGGACACCAACUUUCAUGAAUGUUUUCCAUCUUCUGCAUGGAGAAUGUUUCCCUCAUUUCCUUGAAAAAAUUUGUUCUCCAGAGAACAUUUACAUAGCUCUGCAGCACAAAUAUCUGCGAUUUUCUGCAAUAGAGCAUUACAACUUCUUCACCGAAAUAUAUUACUUCCGUGUAUCUCAUAGGUGUUUAUGCAGCGUCCUUGAAUGGGAGCUGAGACAAGGUUUGAAAGUAGCCAAUGCUGAUGCCACAAAAUUGCUCCCUUGUACUCUCUCCAGGUUGGGAACGAUCAGGUGAGAAAUCCCAAUGCUUUUCAUUGCAUUGCAUAAUAGCUACAAGAACUUCUCUAGUCCAUAAAUCAAAUUCUGCGAAAUUAUGAUCUUGUUUAGCGUGGAAAGCAUGAGCUAGUCCAGAACUUAGAAAAGCUUAAUGUGAUGAUUACCUUCAGGCGUACCACCUUUCUGAUGGCUAAAAUCAAACCUGGCAUGAGGCAUUUGACAUUUGUUACAUCAUGUUUUAGGGUGUAUACCUGAAAAUAUUGUAUGAUUUGCUUUAAAAUUCACAUUGCGAAGUAUGAUUAUGGAUUUAUGCAAUGGCAGACAUACCUCUCCUGGUCCCGAGAAGUUCACUGCUGUACUAGAAGGAAGACCUGGAAGGACCAUGCUGUGUACUCGUACUCCAUCCUCGCAAAGGAUCUGACCCCUUGCCUUCUCAAACACAUUUUAUUUCUAUUGAGUAUAAUUAGUGCUGUUACCUAUCGCAGAGCGAGCUCGUUUAAUUGCUAAUGAUAGCUCUUUUAAAUGUUUUAUAUCAAUAUUGGAAUGUGAUUGUCUAGUCAAUGUAUGAGCCAAACAACUUAACACAGAGUAGCUAACAGCAUGUACCGGACCUUAUUACCAAUGAGAUUUGUAUACUUUGUUAUGAAACCAUGAGAGUUAAAAAUGGUGGUCUCUUUACUUACUGGAUUGUCUGUUGUUAUAUCUUCUCUAUUGUACAUCUGACCAAGAUCAGAAAGAUUGUUUGCAAUCUGUAUGGCCUCCGGCGAUGGCAGGUCCUGUCGAUACAGAGCAAUUAGUAUGUUGAUCUCUCGCCCGAGACACUGCAACUUGUGCUAGAAGAGCUAUGGAAGGUAAUUUACAGCUUGUUUAACUUGGCAUUUUGAACUUUAUUCCUUUAUUUAAAUGAAAUCAACAUGUUUAUAGGUUUUGGAAAACAUACUGCUGGAUCAGGCCUUGAUUCCACAAUCUCGACGUUGUUGUAGUGGAAUGAAGCUUGAAUUGCAGCUUGUUGGAGCAGCACAGAGCCAAUAGACAACGUCGGCGCAAUUAGACAACCCUAACAACAAAGAUAUAGCAGUAGCCUUAUAAAAAUUUUGCCCAUAGUUAAUAAGCAUCACUUGAUGGAACAGUGUGCUGUGACAAUCUCACCAUGCUUGCCUUCUCACAAAACAACGAUAGCUCGGUAACUGUUUCUAACUGAAUUUUUGGAACGUAAACGAUGCUGCUCAAUCCAAAUGCUGCUGCCUACAUGAUUGUAAACAAGAUUGAUGAGUCAGAAUAUGUUCUAAUCCUUUGCAGGUAGCGAAUUUGAGGGCCUUGAGCACCAAAAGCCAAAAACCGACAGCAACCAUUGUGUGGUUCCUUCGUACCUGUUUGACAUUAUCAUACACAGUCGAAGGCUCGGUGAAAUCUACGACAACGCCCGUUGCUCUCGACUAACAAGCAGAGUAAACUAUCCAUGGGUUAGUAUUAAUAAUAUCCUAAGAAAAUAGAGUGAAAAGUAAUGUAAUAAUACAGUAAAGUACCUGUGCAAUAGAUCCCAGAACCAUUGUGAGAUCAUUGAGCACUGGGAUCUCCAAAGGCUCUUCCAUACCACUUAUCUGAAACAAAAGAGUACUCUUUUUAAGUACAGUUACAAAUGAACAGAACACAACAUGAGAAGAACCAAAUGUAUAGAUAGAGAACCUUUCCAGCAUCUUGCCCUACUAGCUGAUUGUCCACAGCAGCAGCCACCUCCAUUCCCCUCGCUUUCGUCACAGCUAAAAUUGCGGCUCUCCCGAUCUCUUUCGUCGCGCCAUUGAUCACAACCUCUUCCCAUCAAGAAAUAAAGAACACCCAACAACAUAAAAGCAUCUUAGUCCAUGGUUUAAUUAGAGUCAUAGUUCCUCUUGUAUAAAGAGUAUUAUACCUUAAUGUUGUUUUGAGAGGGUUGCAUGGAGCAAGUGAAAAUGGGGGACACACUGCUUCUUUUUGAGAUCUUAUUGCAUGAUGUGGGUUGAAGAGGAUAGCUCAAAAAAGCCAUUGUUUUCUCUCUAUUCAAUAACCACUGAAGUGGCUUUGGGCUAGUAGUGAGAGAAGUGAUGGUGAGGAUAUUUUUAUGUGAUAAAGAUAGCCUUAUCUUUUAUUGGAUUUAUUGGUUGGUUGGCUUGAGCCCCUCUUAACAUAUAUUGAAACUUUGAUAUCUGUGCUAUACUUGGGUGCUGAGUUUUUUCACUUAUUUCUAGCAGAACAUUUAGAAACUUCUUAUUUUAAAAAAUUGAUACUGCAAGUAGUCAUUUAAUUUGUGGUUUUUAUUCAGAAUUAAAAUCUCCUGUAGUUUGAUUGUGGGAAGAUUGUGUUACCUACAAUGGAAAAAAUAUGGUGAAAAAAAUAUCAUAUUUGUUUUCGUAGGCGUAUUACGUUGUACAUAUCAUAAUAAGUAGGUUAACAAAAAUUUACAGUCUCAUUAGAAAAGGGAGCAGCAUAUUUUUUUAUGUUUUCAUUCUAAUUCCAUUUUGACUAAUAGUUUUGGGUUGUUUCUUGUACCAAACGGAUUCGAAAUAUUGAAUUUUGAUGACUAUCAUAAUACUUACUCUUUUUAGAAAGAAAAAUGAUAUAUGUACAUUUUAUUGUAGAGCGUACGUAUAUUUACACCUCAUCAUCUAAGGGUUUAAAAAUAAAAAAUAAAAAAAGGUUUGAAGUACUAAAAGAAAAGGGAUAGAACAUGUGAAUAAAUCUGGAUGCUUUGGAGGCUAGGUUGUAAGAUAUGCACUUACACAGUAAUAAGUGUUAUUGAUAGUAUUGCUUUUUCAAAAGAGAAAAAUGAUUAGCACAGCUAAGUGAUCAAACUAAUUCACAUCAAUUUUGCAUCAUAUUCUUGGAGUGCCUUACAUAAGAAUGAAAUCAUUGCUCACUCUUUUAGGUCUAAUUAUGGUGUAAUGAGUUGGAUCUUCUUCAUUUGUGAUAUGGUGUAAUGAGUUGGAACUUCUUCAUUUGUGAAAGGGCCUUAAUUAUAGAGGUGUUGUUGUGUCUAUGAUUGUUGUUCCUUGUACUGGGCCCUAAUAAUUAGUAAUAACUACAUUGUAGGUGAUUACUAGGCAACAUAAACUAAACCCCACAUAUGAGGUUCUCCUCUGCAUGUAUUUGUUUAUAAAUAUGUAAAAAUGAAAAUAUUAAAUGAAUUUGGAAAUGGAAUUUUUUUUUAAAAAAAAAAAUCAUCUCUGAACUUUACAUUCUAGCCGUAACAAAAUUUUAGCAGUCCUUAUCUAUGACUGUAUAUAUUAUACUUUAAUAUCAAAUCAUACAGCAGAUUGCUUUGUAUUUAUUAUCCUGUCAUAUAUAUAUAUAUAUAUAUAUAUAUAUAUAUAUAUAUAUAUAUAUAUAUUGAGAGAGAGAGAGAGAGAGUUGGACUGGGCUAUUAUUAGUAGCAAAAUUUUAUUGUUGUUACCGGUUUUUUAGCCUUUGGAUCAACUCUUUUCAUUAUUUCUAGCCAUUUGAUUAAAUACUAUAACCCAGUGGGGACCACUCAACCCUAAGGAGACCACUUAACUCUAACCGACUAAUAUCAUUCCGACCCUAUAAUUUUUCAUCCAAAGGUUAAAAACUUGAUAGUAAAAAAAGCGUUUUACUAUUAAUAAUAUUCCAAUCUAAUUCAUAUAUAUAUAUAUAUAUAUAUAUAUUGAUGACUAUAGAAUAGAUAGCAAAAAAUAAUAGAACAAUAAAAUAA
This 85126-nucleotide long non-coding RNA is filed under the name Ananas comosus (pineapple). RNAcentral describes it as "long non-coding RNA (ACOM_LNC013907)". The record is from RNAcentral. Lineage: Eukaryota; Viridiplantae; Streptophyta; Magnoliopsida; Poales; Bromeliaceae.